This 58210-nucleotide long non-coding RNA is filed under the name Triticum aestivum (bread wheat). Its description in RNAcentral is "long non-coding RNA (TAES_LNC006698)". Lineage: Eukaryota; Viridiplantae; Streptophyta; Magnoliopsida; Poales; Poaceae. The record is from RNAcentral.
UAAGCGGCGGAACGUGGGGCUAGGGCUAUGAAAUUUGGAGCAACUCUUGAAAUGUGGUACUGUAUUUCCCUUAAUUUCUCCAUGUACCUUUGACAGUUUGUGCACUCUGUCCCAUCUGCUAGCUAGCCCUGGAACCAAGCAAGUCCGAAUUUCGUUAGAAUUUCUGCUGUAAUGUUUGCUCCUUUUGUUCUAUAUGUUCUAUUCGUGGCACUAUGCUCACGAGUUUGAGACCUCGAAUCCUCUAUGACCACAUGGAUGUCUAGAUGAGGAUAAGAGUUGCCGGAGUAAUGUUCUGCCGGGAGAUGCAAUGUUGUGUCUGAGAAGCCUGCAUGAGCAAGGGCACACUAUGUUGUAGCAGAGUUAUGCAAUUUUUGUUUCCGGUGGUUAAACCUGAACAUGCAGUGCCUCUUCAGGCCCAAAAAUCUAUCUUCAACGGAUAAUGUAGAACUAACUAACAUGUACAUCUCCAAAAACCAAAAACCCAUCACAACAGAUAAUGUAAAACUAAUGUAAAACCCAUCUCCGAUAGAUAAUGUAUAGAUGCAUAACAGUGUUCAAAAAAAAUGUAAAAAAAAUGUAUAGGUGCAUAACCCGAUAAUGUAGAUGCAUAAAACAUCUUCAAGAGGUCCAAAACCCAUCUUCAACAGAUAAUGUAAAACCCACCUAUCUCCAAUCUCCAACAGAUAAUGACGAUACAUAACCCAUCUUCAACAGAUAAAACCCAACUGAUAAUGUAGAUGCAAACCUUCUUACAUCUUUACAUCUCCAUGAUGGAGGAUGCAAACCUUUCUACAUCUUUACGGUUCAAAGCUAACAAAUAGAUCUCAUGUUGGCACUCAAUGGCUAAGAUCUCCAUGAUGGAGGAUAUAAAACACAACACCUGGGGAUGCAAAUAUCCAUUUACGGGAGAUGUAAAAUCGGCGGUCGCGUGUCAAUUGCAAUUGCCUAAUUGUGUUCAUUUGGCCGCCCGUUGACGGCCAUGCCGUCGCCGAUGACUGUUGACAUCAGAUUUUGGCACGGUCAAUAACUUAUUUAAGAUGGGCUUCGAGAUGAAAUCGGACGGUGAUGACCCAAACUUCAAAGAUGUUUAUAUCAACAAUACGGAACUCUUUCAUGAAGAUCACAUCUUCAUUUAAGGCCAUCUUAAAUAAGUUAUUGACCUUUUUUCAUUUGAGGUCGUCUUGGGGCUUAAUAGUACUUUAAAUAUAAGUUAUUUGACUAAGGUUUGACGUGAAUCCAAGACUUUUCCUUGCACGGGAAGUCCAGCCGCCUUUUAUAUACCUUAGGGGUGACGGCCGAUUGAACAACACACAAUCGAUCAAUUCAUCUACCAUUUUUUUAUCAUUUAUCUUUUAUCUUUUUUCCUUAACCCUAGCUCUUCUUCUUUCUCGUUCUUCGUUCGUUCUUCUUCAUUGCAGGGCGGCGAACCUCGAGGCCCUAGGGGCGAUCAGGUCGACCUAGGGCAGCCCAUAGCCACCGCGCGCCCUGACGGGGUCCUCCCGGUCGUGUUGGGUUUCGGGUCCUGAAAAGCACCUGCCGAAUUGCUUGCGUACCGCGCUUCCGUACGGGUCUCCUUCGAUGUGAGCUGCGGUGCAUCACCCUCGGUGUUGGAGGUACACGGGGACGUGUUCGUGUGCGAACACAUUUUUUGGCGACUCCGUUGGGGAAGAAGCUUCGAACGGUCUCCGGACCGUUCUUGCUACGAAGAGAUCGUCAUCUAGGGUUUGCUGUCUACGAAGAUAAUAUGAAUACCCAAUCCCUUUAUGUAGAUACAAAUAAUUCAUAUGGUGUUACUAGAUCGUUCAAUGAGUAUACUCUAUCGGCCAAUCCCAGUUUUUUCAACAUGGAACUAACUACGUGCAAGGGCCGAUUCAAAGUAAUUUAUAUACUUCAACUUCUGAUGAUAUUAGUAACAUGCAUCAUAUGUAUCCCAACUCACAUGCAUCGGCAACCCAGCAAAUUCAUAUGUCGAUGAGCAACAUGAUGAGUUCGAUUAAUCAAUUUGAAACACCCCAAGUUAGAAUUUCCAAUGCCAUACAAGAAAGUGUUUCACCCUUUUAUUCAUCGGCAGCUAAUGUGCAAUAUAGUAAUCCAACCAUGCCGAUGAAUGAGAGAAUUAGCCAUGCUACUAGUGGCUAUUUGACCAGUUACUCUCAACCGUCAUAUGCUACACCUCAUGUUGGUAAUUCUUCGGCACCAUACACAAUUGUAGAUGCUCAUAAUUCGGCUUCACACCUUUUUGGUUAUAGCCAAAUGAAUGUAAAUUUUACAGGAACGGUUGUGCCCAAUAUUGUAGAAGAUGAGGUAGUGAUGGCUGCAUUGAAGAGUUUAGCCCAAAAUAAGAGAAUUAGUGCUCUUUGCCUUGAACAACAUGAAAAGGGGCUAUUUCCUGAUUAUGCCGCAAUAAAAGCUAAAGUUUUGCAAGAAGAUGAAUCUUUGCCAAUUGAUAAAAUUGGCGAGCAAAAAUAUGGUCUUACAACAAUGCAUAUGCCUUCACCUAGUACUACAUCAUAUUAUACACCCCCUACACAAUUGCAAAAUUUCAGCAACACCCGUGUAUCAUUGCCGAAAGAAUAUAAAAGCAUUCGGGGGCAAUCAUAUCCGGAGUGGGCUGAAAUUGAGAAAAAGCUUAAAGCUAAUUUUGCCGCUCGCCGUCAGAAACAAAUAGAAAAAAAAUUGGCUCAGAUAAAAGAAGCAUUGUCAAUUGGUAGUAUCAAUGAAAAGAAGGAUGAUUCGGAACAUAAAAGUGCUUCGGUUGAAAAAGCCGAAUCAAGUAGUUUAUAUUCUGAAUCCAUCAAAUUCAAUGAGGCAAGCAUUAUUGAGAAAUGGCAUGGUAAGCAUAGGAAAACAACGGUGCUUGAUUUUUCUGAGGUUAAUGAAACCUACUUCCUGCCUUAUGAGUUCCGUGCCGUAGAAAUUGACAAGCUUCAAGGACAAGAACAAGUAGCCGAACAAAGUUCGGUCGACAAAAAUCUUCAGUGUAAUGAUGCACGGAAUAAAGAAAAAGAUGAUAAAAAGGCGUUGGAGAGUCAUCCAAAGAUGAAGCUAGAUAUUGUUCAAGUCACACCACCAUCAUGCUCUCCCAACGUAUUUGAAGAGGUAUGCAUAGCGAGUAAUUUACCUAUUUUCAGAUUUGGUCACAACUUUAUUGUUGAUGCAUCUAUUAGAAAAAUCCUCAUAGGUAAUUUUAAAAGACCAAUGAAGAAAGGUAAUUUACUUGUUAGCGAUAAAAUUGUUUUAGAACAUAUCGGUCAACCAAUUGUGCCAUUUAUAAAGACCGAUAAUGACUUAUUAUUGCAGCCGAAGCUUUCCCCGUUGCUUUAUCUAAAGUUCAUAUCUAUUUGGGUAGCUUUGCUUAUUUCGUACUUGGCUUGCACUUGGUCUCAAUUGAGACAUGUAUGUUCUAACUAUUUUUAUUUCAGAAAUUUAAAGCCAAGGUCAAAUUUUGUUGAGAAAACUGAUGCUAGUAUAAUAUCUUACCCAAAGACAUCGGUGAUAGAGUACAAAACACAAUGCAUAGCCGAAUGGUGUGAUGCAAAAUCUGAACCAUUCCUUUGCUUAACUCCAAAGCCGUUUUCACAACAAGAUCGGCAAGAGAAUGAAAAGUUUACCUUCAAUUCAAGCAUGUGUGAUCAAAUAUUUGAUUUGUUGUUGCAAAAUAAUUAUAUUAAAAUUCUUGAUCACCAUGUUGAACCAUCUAUCCAAGGACGAAUGUAUUGUAAGUUGCAUGAUUCGUCCAAGCAUAAUUUUGAGGAUUGCAACAUGUUUCGUCAAAUAGUUAAAUCGGCCAUUGAUAAAGGAUGAUUGAAAUUUCUUGAGACACCCAGAGAUGACCAGUCUAUUCCGAUUGGUCCCGAUGGCAGAAAGUUUUUGCAUCGGCUGCUUCAAGCCGAUUCAUUUGAAGAGAAGGUAAAAACUACAGGUGAUGGGAUCAAGCUUUCAAGUAAAGAAGUUGUUGAAGAGCAUAAUGAACAUAAUCUUGAGGGUAAGAAUUCCAUCGAAGCAACAAUGGAGAUGCCAAGGACUGGGGGGCAGCAAGCAAAUCCAAUGAUCGAUGAAAGCAAACCAAAAGAAAACAAAGGCCAAAAUAAGCGCAAGUGCAAGAGAUCAAAAAUCACCUUCGCUGAACUAUUGGAUAAAUAUCAAAAGAAGAGUGAAGAGAAGAAUGUUUAUCAGCCAAAUCAUGCAAAGAAAUCAAGGUCACCCCCAAGGCGCAAAUAUGAGGAUCGAUAUUGGCAAAGUGAUAAUUUUAAUGAAACAUAUUCAUAUCCUUAUUUUGGGCCACCAAUGCCAAUGUUGUGGAUACCUCCCUAUGCUCAUAUAGAUACAUAUUCAUCAUGGGACAGGUAUAAUACAAGGGCACAUUCUCCAUCUUAUUUUAGACCAUCUCACCAAUACUAUGCAGCUCCAAGGAGAUCAACAUUUGAACAAUCACGCGUCAAAGACCGUUUCAAUCAUAAGGAAUCGGUCCAGAGCUCAAGAAAGAAGAAAGAGGUGGUAAAGCAAGUUUACCGCGUGAAAAGAGAUGGUCGUAAGUGUGCUGCUUCAGAUUUGAUCUCAAGUAACAAAGAGCCAAUUAAAGUGUUGACAUUGGCUACAAAAGGCAAAGAAGUGAAGCAAUCAAUUGAUAAAAAUCAGAGUGCCAAAUCUGAAGAAGAGAAGUGGAGAAUGCAAAAGGCCGAAAAGGAAUUGCCAUUGGUCAAAACAGAAUCACAGCCGAGAUGCCCACUCGACUUAUCAUAUUGGCAAAAGAAGAAAUUACAAAAAAUUAGUGCACAAAAACUUGAAGAAAGAAACAUGGCAUGGGUUCCUAAAGGAAGUACUCAAAAUAAGAAUUAUGUGAAAACAUCCAUUACACGACGUGCGGCAAAGGUGAAGAAGGAAAAGAGUGAAAACUAUGAAGGACGCGAAGGUUUCAACAUCUUCGGUCUACACAUUAUCCAUAUUCCUCAACUAUGCCAUUGACGCUUAUGCCAUAGAAUUCGUCAUCAGGCAUGAUUGGUAACCCUCAAUGGGCUUAUUUUAAUUCAUGGAUGCCAUAUAAUUUCUUACAUCAUGAAAGGGUAUUACCAAGUCACUAUACAUUCGGUUAGCUACAAGUUUGUUGUUGAUCCAAAGGGCCAAAAUACUUGAUUUGACAUUUCGUUUGUUUGUUUCGUCUAUAUGUGCUUUGAACGAAGUUUACAUGGUAAUGGUCGAUAUUUACCUAUCGUCCUAAGAGUAUGUGUCGGAGUAAUUGGCCACGGGUACCCCGAAAACAGCGAGACAAUUAUUCAAGACAUCGGGGCUAGCAAAGCGCCUCAGUCCGACUACCCGGCCGCUCCUACCGACUCCCCGUCCGACUGCCCUGCUCGGCCGGCUGCCGGCUGCCGACUGCGCCAACCAGCCGGCUGUCGACUGCAGCUCGACCCGACACCGACAAGACCCCGACGAGACGACCAUACCGCGGACAAGACAACCGUACCGCGAUGCCAUCAUGUACAGUGUCACUUGUCCCUGGACACUAUUCAUGAAGUGACCUAGAAGACAAGCAUGACACCCACACCAUGCCCCCAUGCCCACUUGUCCAUGCCACUACAUAGCUUAGGAAGUAAACUAGCUAUGCCUAUAUAAAGGCACACAUCCAUCCAUCCAGGGAAUGGACUCCCAUGGACUCACGCACACACCCACAAGCAAGCUAGCUAGCAAGAGAGCUAGCUAGCCAUCCAUCCAUCAACUCCCACGGGCAAACAUGCCCAAGCACAUCCAUUCGGCCAAGAGGCAACGACCACCAGGCCGCGUAUAUAUACAAAGCCAGAUGCCUAUGGCACUGAGCUUAGAUACAGCUUCAGGAGCACUCUGUACUAGAUAUAUCAGAUACACUCAGACAUGCAGCAGUAGGAGUAUUAUCUCUGUUGAGAGCUCCGAAGCUGGGUAAACCACCGCGUGCUACUCGCAUACCCGCUCCCAGACCUAUCAGCCGCAGUCUUACCCUCACACUAAGCCCUUGUGGCAUCUGUCGACUCGCAAGCCCUCCGUGAGAACACCACGACAGUUGGCGCCCACCAUGGUGUGGUACUACUACUAUGCUACCACGCUGCUGCUGGUUUCGUAGUCCGGGCGGGACCACUUUCGUCACCACCGCGGCAUCACGCCGUCUCUCCGGUAAUGCUCGGAGACUCGACACCGACAAGCCCCCGGGCAGCUGCGCGGGUCGGCGCACCCUCGUCGUCGGCCUCGGCCUCUUCGUCACCACCGUUGCAGCGCUGGUAGUCCGUCCGCCGCCUCGCUUCGGUCGGCCUCGUCACUCCGUCCGCUGCCCUCCGCGCCGCGUCUCGCUCCGGCCGGAGCGUGCGGCCGCUCCUCCAUACAUGGCUCGUGUAGUGUUCAGAUACACUGCCCAUAUGUUAGCCGGAUAAUCCCCAGAAAAAUCCCAUACCAUAGCCAAACCAUUCCCCGUACACUAGCCACGCAUUAUCCAUACAAAAGUCAGAUGUUACCCAGACUAUGCCCAGACAUUGUUCGAGCUUUGAGCAGCAGCAGCGGCCGAGCGCCUACGCCCGCGGCCCUGUGGCUGCUGCUGUGCCACUGCCCGCGGCCUGCUCCGCACGCACGGCCAUCCGGCUUGCUCCGCUUCCCGACCGGCUCGUCCGCCUCCCGUGGUCGUCCGUCGCGGUCCCUCGUCGCCGCCAGCUCGCCGGGCUCACGAGCCGGCUCCUCCGCCCCCUGCUGGCUGCCAACAGGCCCCAUCAGCACGCGCCCGCGCCGGCUCGCCGACGGCCCAUCCAGUGUCGUGCUCUGCCACCUCCGCCCGCGUUGCGACCCCGCACCUGNNNNNNNNNNNNNNNNNNNNNNNNNNNNNNNNNNNNNNNNNNNNNNNNNNNNNNNNNNNNNNNNNNNNNNNNNNNNNNNNNNNNNNNNNNNNNNNNNNNNNNNNNNNNNNNNNNNNNNNNNNNNNNNNNNNNNNNNNNNNNNNNNNNNNNNNNNNNNNNNNNNNNNNNNNNNNNNNNNNNNNNNNNNNNNNNNNNNNNNNNNNNNNNNNNNNNNNNNNNNNNNNNNNNNNNNNNNNNNNNNNNNNNNNNNNNNNNNNNNNNNNNNNNNNNNNNNNNNNNNNNNNNNNNNNNNNNNNNNNNNNNNNNNNNNNNNNNNNNNNNNNNNNNNNNNNNNNNNNNNNNNNNNNNNNNNNNNNNNNNNNNNNNNNNNNNNNNNNNNNNNNNNNNNNNNNNNNNNNNNNNNNNNNNNNNNNNNNNNNNNNNNNNNNNNNNNNNNNNNNNNNNNNNNNNNNNNNNNNNNNNNNNNNNNNNNNNNNNNNNNNNNNNNNNNNNNNNNNNNNNNNNNNNNNNNNNNNNNNNNNNNNNNNNNNNNNNNNNNNNNNNNNNNNNNNNNNNNNNNNNNNNNNNNNNNNNNNNNNNNNNNNNNNNNNNNNNNNNNNNNNNNNNNNNNNNNNNNNNNNNNNNNNNNNNNNNNNNNNNNNNNNNNNNNNNNNNNNNNNNNNNNNNNNNNNNNNNNNNNNNNNNNNNNNNNNNNNNNNNNNNNNNNNNNNNNNNNNNNNNNNNNNNNNNNNNNNNNNNNNNNNNNNNNNNNNNNNNNNNNNNNNNNNNNNNNNNNNNNNNNNNNNNNNNNNNNNNNNNNNNNNNNNNNNNNNNNNNNNNNNNNNNNNNNNNNNNNNNNNNNNNNNNNNNNNNNNNNNNNNNNNNNNNNNNNNNNNNNNNNNNNNNNNNNNNNNNNNNNNNNNNNNNNNNNNNNNNNNNNNNNNNNNNNNNNNNNNNNNNNNNNNNNNNNNNNNNNNNNNNNNNNNNNNNNNNNNNNNNNNNNNNNNNNNNNNNNNNNNNNNNNNNNNNNNNNNNNNNNNNNNNNNNNNNNNNNNNNNNNNNNNNNNNNNNNNNNNNNNNNNNNNNNNNNNNNNNNNNNNNNNNNNNNNNNNNNNNNNNNNNNNNNNNNNNNNNNNCGUAUCCGCCCUUGGCCCGGCCGCUCUGCUCCAGCCCUUGUCGGCCCUCGCGCGCCCGUCGGGUCGCCGCCCCGCGUUGGCCGGCUUCCCCACGCCGGCCGGCCGCUGCCGCCUCCCCACGCGAAAGGAGCAGAGAGAAGUGGUGGCUGGCUAGAGAACUGAAAAAGAAAGAAAUUGGCCGGUUGCCCGCGGGGCAAAGUUGCUGCCGGUUGGUAAAGAAAAGUCAAGGGCCGGCUGGAAAAAAAAGAAAGAAAGAGCACCGCGUCCGGCUGAGAAAGUGGCCAGGUGCUGAGAAAAAAGAAACGUGCAUGUCCGGCUAACAGCAGCCGGCGAACGAAGAGAAAAUAUAAGGAAAAAGAUUGUUGCCGGGUGGAGAAAAGUCAGGCCGGAUGCCCACCUGACUGCUCGUGCACAAGAAGCGUCCGGCUGUCAACAGCCGGCAAAAGAGAAGAAGACAAAGUAGUCGCCGGGAGAUCCGGCCCGACUGCUCAGCAGUCGGCCCGAAUCUCGGGGGCUACACACGCGCCCCCGCGAGAGAGAAGACAAAGUAGUUGCCGGGAGAUCCAGCCCGACUGCUCAGCAGUCGGCCCGAAUCUCGGGGCCUACACCCAGCGGGUGCACUGAGGCGCCCCCGCGAGAGAGAAGACAAAGUAGUUGCCGGGAGAUCCGGCCCGACUGCUCAGCAGUCGGCCCAAAUCUCGGGGGCUACACCCAACGGGUGCGCUUGACGCGCCCCUACAAGAGAGAAGACAAAGUAGUCGCCAGGAGAUCCGGCCUGACUGCUCAACAGUCGGUCCGAAUCUCGGGGGCUACACCCAGCGGGUCCGCUGGCGCGCCCCCGCGAAGAUUGCAGACAAGUGAAGAGUUUUGUCUGGCUGCCAGCAGCCAACAGAAAAGAAAAAGAAGAAAAAGUGCGUUGCAAGACGCCUCGCCGCCUGGCCGGUCAAGCCUGACCGGCCGGGACCCCCCCUUCGAGCACCCAGGGGCUCGAAGGCUACAUCCAGCGGAUGUGCUGGCGCACUCCGCGAGCGCCAAGUUGCGCCGGCUGUCUUCGGCAAACUCCGUCUCAGGUACACAAAAAUCAAUGUGAGCUUCUCACCCGCAUAUUUUCUCACCACGCAAAGACGGAUAGCCUCGAGCGAUGCUCGGGGGCCACCUCCGCUUUUAUUACAGUUGCACCACUGUUCGCCCCGGCGCCAGCCAGAGUUGGCCCGGAGGCUGGCCGCUUGGCCUGAGACGUUUGUUCCCGCAGACGGCUUAGUAGCGUGCGCGGUACCAAAGACCCACUCUUAGUCACAGACCGCAGAGCGGCUGUCCGGCUAGCAAGAGUGAACGCUGAAGGCCACCCACGCGAAAAACGUCCGGGAAGAAAAACGGUUCGGGCGACCCGACCGUUUCCUUUAUGAGUAUCUGCUCGGUUAAAUUCGCUCCCAGAGUCUGAGUAUUGUACACUCCACUCCGCGGCCCACUCUCAUCCACAGACUGCAGAGCGGCUGUCCGGCAAGCGAGAGCACAAGCCAAAGAGCGGAGGGAACAUGAAAGAGAUUAAGGGGGCUCGGACAAAACCGAGUAGGCACCCUUCGCAUAAACUUGCAAUGCUAAAAACAUUCAUUUGAUAUAUCUACGUGGAGUAACUUUGUCUUUUGGAUGAUCAUUUCCAUGAACACCCAUCAAAAAACCUCCGCCCAACUUUGCCAAGUUGCCCGGAGGCUUGGGGGCUACUGUCGGAGUAAUUGGCCACGGGUACCUCGAAGACGGCGAGACAAUUAUUCAAGACAUCGGGGCUAGCAAAGCCCCUCGGUCCGACUGCCCGGCCGCUCCUACCGGCUCCCCGUCCGACUGCCCUGCCCGGUCGGCUGCCGGCUGCCGACUGCGUCAACUAGCCGGCUGCCGACAGCACCGACCAGCCGGCUGCCGGCUGCCGACUGCAGCUUGACCCAACACCGACAAGACCCCGACGAGACGGCCAUACCGUGGACAAGACAACCGUACCGCGACGCCACAAUGUACAGUGCCACUUGUCCCUGGGCACUAUUCAUGAAGUGAUCCAGGAGACAAGCAUGACACCCACACCAUGCCCCCAUGCCCACUUGUCCAUGCCACUACAUAGCUUAGGAAGUAAGCUAGCUAUGCUUAUAUAAAGGCACACAUCCAUCCAUCCAGGGGAUGGACUCCCAUGGACUCACGCACACACCCACAAGCAAGCUAGCUAGCAAGAGAGCUAGCUAGCCAUCCAUCCAUCAACUCCCACGGGCAAGCAUGCCCAAGCACAUCCAUUCGGCCAAGAGGCAACGGCCACCAAGCCACGUACAUAUACAAAGCCAGAUGCCUAUGGGACUAAGCUUAGAUACAGCUCCUGGAGCACUCUGUACUAGAUAUAUCAGAUACACUCACACAUGCAGCAGUAGGAGUAUUAUCUCUCUGGAGAGCUCCAAAGCUGGGUAAACCACCGCGUGCUACUCGCAUACCCGCUCCCGGGCCUAUCAGCAGCAGUCUUACCCACACACUAAGCCAUUGUGGCAUCUGUCGACUCGCAAGCCCCCCGUGAGAACACCACGACUGUAUGUCAAUGCAUGGCCGGUGUAGUAUUCUAACAUCGUCCUUAGUUCGAUUGGAGAGCAAGACAAGUACUAUAGAGAUUAUGUUUUGAUUGUUGAAUUCAUAACAAUGGCCACAGUGUUGGUGUUGUUUAUGUAUCUCCAUAUAGUGCUGUUCUGUGAAGCCUCAUGCCUCUUAAAAUAUUUAUUGCACAAUAAUCAUAGUCGAAUACGCAAUGUUAUUCGGUUUGGAACUUUUUCCAUAUGUGCUAAACAUAUUGAGGCUUUUGAUGAUUCGUUAUGAGUAGUGUAACAAAUAUCCAAGGGUUAUCAAUGUUUUGACGAAUCACUUAUAGUUUAUCUUGGGGAAUGUCUAAAUGCAAAAUUUACCUUGGGUUGCUUUAAAACUGUUCAUAUAUCUAGAUAUGACAAUUUGAAAGAGUUGGCACAGCAAGCAUCCGGCUACUAUGUUAACCAUGGUGUAUUGUAUUUCUAUCAAUAGCCGAUGCUAGGUUUUGUCAACAUAGGUAAGGCCAAACUGAAGCCCACCGCUUCGGCCACUAAUGAAACUUUUAUGCAGGCGAAGUAAGGAUUGGAGGAAGUUUAUUCUUAAUUAUCUGCAAAAUCCUAGCGAAAGGGUGAACAAUAUGGUUCGGAGGAUGGUUUUGAUCUAUGGAACCUUAUCACCGGGUUGUUAUUGAAGUUGGGAAAGUUUCACCCAAACUUGCAUUGAAAUAUUCACACAAGCAAUGGCCGAUCCAAAGUUAUCAUCCUAAGCAUAUGCAAAAUGGCUGAUGAAGUAUUGACAUCGUCCUUAGAGCAAGCUAUGUGCAAGUUAUUUUUCGGCACACAAGCUUUGCCGAAAAACAGGGGGGCAUGUGUUGACACCAGAUUUUGGCACGGUCAAUAACUUAUUUAAGAUGGCCUCAAAUGGAGAAGUGAUCUUCAUGAAAGAGUUCCAUAUUGUUGAUAUGAACAUCUUUGAAGUUUGGGUCAUCGCCGUCCGAUUUCAUCUCGAAGGCCGAAACUAUGCUCAAAGUACUAAGAUCUUAUAUCCAGAGUACAGUUUGGCUGAUUAAGCCCCCAAGACGGCCUCAAAUGGAAAAAGAUCUACACGGAUUGUCUUCGUCUCAUCGAAACGAUUAAUUUUGAUAUAAAAAUCGUCCAAAUCCGAGUUUGUAUGCAAAAGUUAGAGCAAUCGGAGUGCAGCCCUGUCACGAGGCGAAAUAUGGCGCGCCCCAACAGACGCCAUGUCUGAUUGGUAGCGCGAGUAAACAGAUCUUUUGCGCGAGCUAUUUGACCCUCAAGAUGACCUCUGAUAAAAAAACGUUCAACAUGAAAGUUUUUCAUAUCGUCGAAACGGUCAAGAUUGCUUUUGGACUCAUUUCCAUCCGAGAUCGUUUACCACCACAAAAAAGACCCGCAAGGUGCAGCCAGUUUAAACCUAACAAGUUUGGAAAGUUCGGACAAGACCAAUCCGAAUUUGACUAGGGUUUUGGAUGUGAAUCUAAGACUUUUCCUUGCACGGGAAGUCCAGCCGCCUCUUAUAUACCUAAGGGGUGACGGCCGAUUGAACAACCCACAAUCGAUCAAUUCAUCUACCACUUUUUAUCUUUUAUCUUUUAUCUUUUCUCCUUAACCCUGGCUCUUCUUCUUCCUUGUUCUUCAUUCGUUCUUCUUCAUUGCAGGGCGGCGAACCUCUAGGCCCUAGGGGCGAUCAGGUCGACCUAGGGCAGCCCAUAGCCACCGCGCGCCCUGACGGGGUCCCUCCCGGCCGUGUGGGGUUUCGGGUCCUGAAAAGCACCCGCCGGAUUGCUUGCGUACCGCGCUUCCGGACGGGUCUCCUUCGACGUGAGCUGCGGUGCAUCACCCUCGGUGUUGGAGGUACACAGUGACGUGUUCGUGUGCGAACAAUGACCAAGUCAUCUCCGCCGCCGGUCGUUUGACCCACCGCGCGGCGUGACCACUUUACCCGAUCCGACGUCCGCCUCUGCCGCCGCCAUGUUGGCGUCCCAUUGUGCCUCAUGCGGCCUACCAGCAAAGAAGCAGCGGGCCACCAAGCUCCGCGAUGGAGGCGUGAAGCGUCCAGCAGCAUGGGACAAUGUGGGGCGGCCAAGAAUUUGAGGCCGGACGCGGCUGCGUCAACCAAUCAGCUGCCACCGACGGCCUUGGCGUCCGCUUUUGGCCAAGAAGCCCUUCCCCCACCUUCGCCAUCGCCACUGUCGGCCAUGGAGGAAGAUAUGUUACGCCCACGAGCACCGCGUCCAACGUGUUUCGACAAAAUGUUGCGAAGGUAAAAGAAAAUCUUAAUUUUUUGUGCUCUUGUUUGUUCUUUCAAUUUUCGAUACGGAUAAAAUUUGAGGUUGAUUACGUGUACGUCCACUUGUAGUCUUGAUGAUGAACUUUCGUGCGUGCGACAAAUGUGUCAAAUGAUAAUUAUUUCUCUCAAGAGUAUGCAUCACAAGAAUAUGAUACUCAAUUUGAUGAUGAUAAUCUCGACAUGGACGAAGAGGGCUUCGUUAUGAAGGGAAGAACCAUACAUUAUAAUAACCCCGAAGAUGUGUUGAUUUGCUUGGAAAAAGUCUCUCUUGAUGCAUCCGUUGGGACCGAUCAAGCUGCGAACACGUAUUGGCAACACAUCGAGGAGUACUUCGAUGAGGACAACACUAGCGACAAUUUUCAAUCAAGGGACUCUAUCCAUCAACGUUGGGGCACCAUCAACGCCGAAUGCCAAAAGUGGGCUGGUUGCUUGGCAAAUAUUGAGCACAUGAACUGAUUGGGUGCGGUGAUAGUGACUUGGUAACCAUUUGCUACUUGUGUGCUUUCUCUACUUUCUGCAAAUAUUUAAAUGCUCCCUAAUUUGAUGAUGACAUCUUGAUUGUUUUCUUGUAGAAAAUGAUUGCGCAAGGAUUAUCUCGAGAGAGGAACAACAAAGAAGAGAAGAGGAAGAAUAAAGGAAAAGCUUUCCCUUUCCAUCAUUGCUACAAUGAACUCAAGAAAGAGGAGAAGCGGAAAACUAGAGGAGCUUUUUAUGCUUUGAAAAAGAAAAGUGUGAUAAUGGAGGAUGAAUAAGAUGGCCCCGGAGAGGAGAGAAGGAGCCCCACUCCUCACCCGGUGACUAAAUCAUAUAGGCCCGAUGACUAAAUCAUAUAGGCCCGAUGGAACUAAGCAAGUGAAGAGUUUCAAGGCCAGAGACAAUGAUCUUAAAGAAGGGUUUGACGCCAUUCUCAUUGCGAGGAAAGAGUAUGCCGAAGAAAAAAUAUGUUGUAGUUAAAAGAAAUGGAGGAGAGUGGAGAAGUGUAGCAGCGGAGGGCAGCGACCGAGGAGAAGAGGGUGGCGGCCAAGGAGAGAUUAGCGGAGGCCUAGGAGAGAAAGAUUGAAUUAGAGGAGAGUAAGGCGGCGACCGAAGAGUACAAGAUGGUGGAAUAGAAGGCACCUAAGUUUAUGUUCACAGACACAUCUACUCUUGAUCUCAAGGCAAAGGCGUAUGUCGAGCUUUGUGGUGAUGAAAUGAUCAUGAAAAGCAAAUGCUCAUGAGAAACAUGAUGGGAGGAGGAAUGGGAGGUGGCAUGGGAGCCAUGGAAGAAUUGGGAAGUGGCAUGAGAUGAUGAAUGGGAGUGGAAUGGGCGACUACAUGAAUAUGAUGGGAGGUGCCAUGAAUGGUGCAUUUGUGGCAACAUAAGUGGCAUGGGUGGUGGCUUUGGUGGCAGCAUGGGCGGCAAUGAAGGUGGCUUCGGCGGCAACAUGAGUGGCAUGAGAGAUGGCUUCGGCGGCAACAUGGGCAUGGGAAGUGGCAAUGAAGGGGCUUUUGAUGGAGUUCACGACAACGAGAUUUCAACUCAUGAAAACGUUGGCAAAGAAGCCAUUGAUGAUGAUUGAUGACCCACAAGUAUAGGGGAUCAAUCAUAGUCCUUUCGAUAAGUAAGAGUGUCAAACCCAAUGAGGAGCGGAAGGAAAUGACAAGCGGUUUUUAGCAAGGUAGUUUCUGCAAGCACUGAAAUUAUCGGUAACAUAUAGUUUGAUAGCAAGAUAAUUCGUAACAAGUGACAAGUAGCAAGAGUAACAAUAGGUGCAGCAAGGUAGCCCAAUCCUUUUUAUAGCAAAGGACAGGCUGGAACUUUCUCUUAUAGCAAGCAAAGUGGUCUUAUGGACACAUUGUCGGUGUCAAAACCGGCAGAUCUCAGAUAGGGGGUCCUGAACUGUGCGUCUAAGGAUCGAAGGUAACAAGAGUUGAUAUCCACUGCCUUUAUAAGAAGACAAAGAUCCAUCUUUUUACCCCACGCCUUCUUCCUCCUCAGCCUAUCUGCCAUUCGAGCUCCAUCGCCCAAGUCUCAAUCCUUUCAUCGCCACCAAACACUCCUAUCCAUGUCCGGAUCUGGAGCGCAGGGCAAGUGGAUGGCUUCCUCUAUUACAAAGGAGAACAUCAAGGAGCUCUGUGAAGCUAGAUACUUAGCCACGGACAUAGUCCAUCGGCUCCCUGCCAAAAAGAAGAUCAUUCCCACUCCAGAGCCUAAUGAAAGGGUAGUGUUCAUCCCCCAUUUCCUUCACGGACUAGGAUUUCCCCUUCAUCCUUUUGUCCGCGGUCUCAUGUUCUACUAUGGGCUAGAUUUUCACGAUCUAGCCCCAAAUUCCUUCGUCAACCUUUCGGUGUUUAUCGUCGUGUGCGAGGCAUUCCUCUGUGUCCCUCCCCACUUCGGCUUAUGGCUCAAGCUCUUCAAUGUGAAGCCAAAGGUGGUCGAGGGCCAACACGCGGAGUGCGGCGGCGCCAUGGUGAGCAAACUCCCCAAUGUUACCUGGCCAAAGGGGACCUUUGUGGAGAGCGUCAAAGGAUGGCAGCAGGGGUGGUUCUAUAUCAUGGAACCCCGCGACGCCACAUGGCCCGCCACUCCUGAGUUCAAAUCUGGGGCCCCGAUGUGGCUUACAUCCUGGCUCAAUAAGGGCCUAGAUUGGGAGUCGCCUGACAAGGUGACGACGCUGGAGAGCUGCGUCAAGGGCAUGGUAAACAAGAAUACCAGCCUCGCCAGCGUGAUCCAGGUGAUGCUUUUUCGCCGGAUUCUCCCUUGUCAGCGCCAGACUCAAUAUAUGUGGGAAUUCGACCCGGCAGCCCUCGCACACUGUGGCGGUUCUUCAGCACGACGCAGAAGAUAUAUGGUAGCUGCUCUUCAAAACUCAAAAGUCAUGGCCGGAGACAACCGAAGAUCAUGGCCUUGACAACACGUCCGACCACUCCUGGAAGUUUUAUGAUAACUUUUAUUUGCAAAUCCAAGGAGUAUAUUGAACUUUCUUAUUCCCGCAGGGCUGGACUAAGAAGGCGGAGCAGAUCAAAUGUCCGGCUCCGCUGCCCGAGGACGAAGCCACCCCCUUGCUGAUGAAGAUGUUGGUUCCGGUGCCAUAUCAGGUGCCGGAGAAGAAGGCCUAGAAGAAGGGCAAGGAGGCCAGAAGUGGCCUCCAUCGUAAGGGCGCUUCAGACGCCGUGUCCGAAGACACCGAGCCCUCCUCCUCUCAAGAUGAAUAUGUAGAGGAGGAAGAGAGUAACUCUCCCCCCAAGGGGGGGAGAAGAAAAGGGCGGCUUCCGCGGAUCUAGAGGCGGAGGCGAGCAAGAAAGGAAAACACUCCCUUUCGGAUGAUUCUGAAGCGGAUGUCGACGCCAUCCCAAAGCGGCGCCCCAGGCCAAAGCCCUUGGUGGAAUCGUAAGUAUCCGACGACACCAUACACAUAUCCAAUUUUAUGCCGUAUUAUUUUAACAUACUGAAUUGCGUAUUAUAGCCCGGCUCGCACUCUCCCCCAACGAUCACCAUCAUCUGGGAACUCGCUAGGGACGAACAUGAUGGAGAGCGAGUCGCCUCCGUAGACCUCUCCACCCACUGGCAUGGAUAACACUGAAGUGUUGUCCCAAAGAACCUCUCCAGGCCAUGGGGAGGUACAGGAGGCCGUGAAGGUGGAGCCACAGUGUAAUACCUCUAUUGUCGAAGAGAGGGGGAAAUCAACUCCCAUGGAGACUGGCGAUGGGGGCAACGCUCAAUUCGUCCCUCAACCAAAUAUUAUUCCGGAGACCCAUACGGCUCCAGAAUCGGACCAGCAGCCUCCUUCGAAGAAAGGGUGCGGGCCGUCUCCACCAGCGUCCUCUACCUAUCCGGAGGCGUCGGACACUCUGGUGGAAGUGCUUCAAAGUGCUUCCAUUGUGGAGGAACACCGUACCCAUACGGUGGUUGAAAAGUUUGGUUCCGCUAAGAGAAGAUUGAACCAAGCCUAUACCAGCCUUUUAACAGGCUUUGAGGUAUGUGAAAGGAAAACCUGUAUAUAGAUAGUAGCCCCUGAAACUCUGUUCGGCGUUUGAGAAGAAAGGCCGAACAGAGGAUCGAAUAAUGCUUUGCAGGAGCUAACAUAUUGUUGGGGAACAUAGCAGAAAUUCAAAAUUUUCCUACGUAACACCAAGAUCUAUCUAUGGAGAGACCAGCAACGAGUAGAAAGAGAGUGCAUCUACAUACCCUUGUAGAUCGCUAAGCGGAAGCGUUCAAGUGAACGGGGUUGAUGGAGUCGUACUCGUCGUGAUUCAGAUCACCGAUGAUCUAGUGCCGAACGGACAGCACCUCCGCGUUCAACACACGUACAGCCCGACGAUGUCUCCCACGCCUUGAUCCAGCAAGGGGAGAGGGAGAGGUUGAGGAAGACUCCAUCCAGCAGCAGCACAACGGCGUGGUGGUGAUGGAGGAGCGUGGCAAUCCUGCAGGGCUUCGCCGAGCACCUACGGGAGAGGAGAUGUGUCACGGGAGGGAGAGGGAGGCAACCAAAGGCCUUAGGUAUGAUUGCUCCUCCUUUUCCCCACUAUAUAUAGGGCCAAGGGAGAGGGGGAGGGCGCAGCCUUGCCCCCUCCUCCAAGGAAGGGGUGCGGCUAAGGAUGGGGAGGAGUCCAUCCUCCCCAAGGCACCUCGGAGGUGCCUUCCCCUUUAAGGACUCUCCCCUUUUUCCUUUAUCUUGGCGCAUGGGCCUCUAGGGGCUGGUGCCCUUGGCCCAUGUAGGCCAAGGCGCACCCCCUACAGCCCAUGUGGCCCCCCCGGGCAGGUGGCCCCACCCGGUGGGCCCCCGGGACCCUUCCGGUGGUCCCGGUACAAUACCGAUGACCCCGAAACUUGUCCCGAUGGCCGAAACAGGACUUCCUAUAUAUAAAUCUUUACCUCCGGACCAUUCCGGAACUCCUCGUGACGUCCGGGAUCUCAUCCGGGACUCCGAACAACAUUCGGUAACCACAUACAAGCUUCCUUUAUAACCCUAGCGUCAUCGAACCUUAAGUGUGUAGACCCUACGGGUUCGGGAGACAUGCAGACAUGACCGAGACGUUCUCCGGUCAAUAACCAACAGCGGGAUCUGGAUACCCAUGUUGGCUCCCACAUGUUCCACGAUGAUCUCAUCGGAUGAACCACGAUGUCAAGGACUCAAUCGAUCCCGUAUACAAUUCCCUUUGUCUAGCGGUAUGGUACUUGCCCGAGAUUCGAUCGUCGAUAUACCGAUACCUUGUUCAAUCUCGUUACCGGCAAGUCUCUUUACUCGUUCCGUAACACAUCAUCCCGUGAUCAACCCCUUGGUCACAUUGUGCACAUUAUGAUGAUGUCCUACCGAGUGGGCCCAGAGAUACCUCUCCGUUUACACGGAGUGACAAAAUCCCAAUCUCGAUUCGUGCCAACCCAACAGACACUAUCAGAGAUACCCGUAGUGUACCUUUAUAGCCACCCAGUUACGUUGUGACGUUUGGCACACCCAAAGCACUCCUACGGUAUCCGGGAGUUGCACAACCUCAUGGUCUAAGGAAAUGAUACUUGACAUUAGAAAAGCUUUAGCAUACGAACUACAUGAUCUUGUGCUAGGCUUAGGAUUGGGUCUUGUCCAUCACAUCAUUCUCCUAAUGAUGUGAUCCCGUUAUCAACGACAUCCAAUGUCCAUGGUCAGGAAACCGUAACCAUCUAUUGAUCAACGAGCUAGUCAACUAGAGGCUUACUAGGGACAUGGUGUUGUCUAUGUAUCCACACAUGUAUCUGAGUUUCCUAUCAAUACAAUUCUAGCAUGGAUAAUAAACGAUUAUCAUGAACAAGGAAAUAUAAUAAUAAUCAAUUUAUUAUUGCCUCUAGGGCAUAUUUCCAACAGUCUCCCACUUGCACUAGAGUCAAUAAUCUAGUUCACAUCGAUAUAUGAUUAACACUCAAGGUCACAUCCCCAUGUGACUAACACCCAAACAGUUUACUAGAGUCAAUAAUCUAGUUCACAUUUACCAUGUGAUUAACACUCGAUGAGUUCUGGGUUUGAUCAUGUUAUGCUUGUGAGAGAGGUUAUAGUCAACGGGUCUGAACCUUUCAGAUCCGUGUGUGCUUUACAAAUCUCUAUGUCAUCUCCUAGAUGCAGCUACCACGUUCUAUUUGGAGCUAUUCCAAAUAACUGUUCUACUUGGAGCUAUUCUAAAUUGUUGCUCCAUUAUACGUAUCCGGUAUCUCUACUCAGAGCUAUCCGGAUAGGUGUUAAGCUUGCAUCGACGUAACCCUUUACGACGAACUCUUUUACCACCUCCAUAAUUGAGAAAAUUCCUUAGUCCACUAGUUACUAAGGAUAACUUUGACCGCUGUCCUGUGAUCCAUUCUUGGAUCACUCUUGUACCCCUUGACUGACUCAUGGUAAAGCACACUUCAUGUGCGGUACACAGCAUAGCAUACUGUAGAGCCUAUGUCUUAAGCAUAGGGGACGACCUUCGUUCCUUUCUCUCUAUUCUGCCAUGGUCGAGCUUUAAGUCUUAACUUCAUACCUUACAACUCAGGCAAGAACUCCUUCUUGACUGAUCCAUCUUGAACACCUUCAAGAUCACGUCAAGGCAUGUGCUCAUUUGAAAGAACUAUUAAGCGUUUUGAUCUAUCCUUAUAGAUCUUGAUGCUCAAUGUUCAAGUAGCUUAAUCCAGGUUUUCCAUUGAAAAACACUUUCAAAAUAACCCUAUAUGCUUUCCAGAAAUUCUACGUCAUUUCUGAUCAUUAAUAUGUCAACAACAUAUACUCACCAGAAAUUCUAUAGUGCUCCCACUCACUUCUUUGGAAAUACAAGUUUCUCAUAAACUUUGUAUACACCCAAAAUCUUUGAUCAUCAUCAAAGCAUACAUUCCAACUCCGAGAUGCUCACUCCAGUCCUCAGAAGGAUUGCUGGAGCUUUGCAUACUUAUUAGCAUAUUUCAGGAUAGACAAAACCUUCCGGUUGUAUCACAUACAACCUUUCCUCAAGAAUCAUCGAGGAAACAAUGUUUUGACAUCCUAUCUGCAAGAUUUCACAAAUAAUGCAGUAAUCGCUAAUAUAAUUUCAACAGACUCUUAGCAUCGCUACGAGUGAGAAAGUCUCAUCGUAGUCAACUCCUUGAACUUGUCGAAAAACAUCUUAACGACAAGUCAAGCUUUUUCAAUGGUGACACUUACCAUCAUUGUCUGUCUUCCUUUCAAAAUCCAUAUGUACCUAACAGCCUUACGACCAUCAAGUAGUUCUUCCAAAGUCUACACUUUGUUUUCAUACAUGGAUCCUCUCUCGGGUUUUAUGGCCUUGAGCCAUUUAUCGGAAUCCGGGCCCACCAUCGCUUCUCCAUAGCUCGUAGGUUCAUUGUUGUCUAGCAACAUGACUUCCAAGACAGGAUUACGUACCACUCUGAAGUAGUACGCAUCCUUGUCAUCCCACGAGGUUUGGGAGUGACUUGAUCUGAAGUUUCAUGAUCACUAUCAUAAGCUUCUACUUCAAUUGGUGUAGGUGCCACAGGAACAACUUCCUGUGCCCUGCUACACACUGGUUGAAGUGAUGGUUCAAUAACCAUAUCAAGUCUCCACCAUCCUCCCACUCAAAUCUUUCGAGAGAAACCUUUCCUCGAAAAAGGACCCGAUUCAAGAAACAAUCCGUAUUGCUUUCGGAUCUGAAUUAGGAGGUAUACCCAACUGUUUUUGGGUGUCCUAUGAAGAUGCAUUUAUCCGCUUUGGGUUCGAGCUUAUCAGCCUGAAACCUUUCCACAUAAGCAUCGCAGCCCCAAACUUCUAAGAAAUGACAGCUUAGGUUUCUCUAAACCAUAAUUCAUAUGGUGUCAUCUCAACGGAAUUACGUGGUGCCCUAUUUAAAGUGAAUGUGGUUGUCUCUAAUGCCUAACCCAUGAACGAUAGUGGUAACUCGAUAAGAGACAUCAUGGUAUGCACCAUAUCCAAUAGGGUGCAACUAUGACAUUUGGACACACCAUCACACUAUGGUGUUCCAGGCUGUAUCAGUUGUGAAACAAUUUCCACAAUGUCUUAAUUCUGUGCCAAACUCGUGAUUUAGAUAUUCAUCUCUAUGAUCAUAUCAUAGAUCUUUUAUCCUCUUGUCACGACGAUCUUUCAACUUCACACUGAAAUUACUUGAAUCUUUCAAUAAUUCAGACUCGUGAUUCAUCAAGUAAAUAUACUCAACAUCCACUCGAAUCAUCUGUGAAGUAAGAACAUAACGAUAUUCACUGCAUGCCUCAGCACUCAUUGGACUGCACACAUCAAAAUGUGUUACUUCCAACAAGUUGCUAUCUUGUUCCAUCUUACUGAAAACGAGGCUUUUCAGUCAUCUUGCCCAUGUGGUAUGAUUAGCAUGUCCCAAGUGAUUCAAAAUCAAGUGAGUCAAAACGGUCCAUUUGCAUGGAGUUUCUUCAUGCAUAUACACCAAUAGACAUGGUUCACAUGUCUCAAACUUUUCAAAAACGAGUGAGUCCAAAGAUCCAUCAAUAUGGAGCUUCUUCAUGCGUUUUAUACCGAUAUGACUUACGUGGCAGUGCCACAAGUAGGUGGUACUAUCAUUACUAUCUUUUGGCAUGAACAUGUGUAUCACUACGAUCGAGAUUUAAUAAACCAUUCAUUGAAGGUAUUAUUCAAAUAAAUAGAGUAACCAUUAUUCUCCUUAAAUGAAUAACCGUAUUGCGAUAGACGUAAUCCAAUCAUGUCUAUGCUCAACGCAAACACCAAAUAACAAUUAUUUAGGUUUAACACCAAUCUCUUUGGUAGAGGGAGCGUGCGAUGCUUGAUCAUAUCAAGCUUGGAAAAACUUCCAACAUAUAUCGUCAGCUCACCUUUAGCUAGUCUCCGUUUAUUCAGUAGCCUUUUGUUUCGAGUUACUAACACUUAGCAACCGAACCGGUAUCUAAUACCCUGGUGCUACUAGGAGUACUAGCAAAGUACACAUUAACACAAUGUAUAUCCAAUAUACUUCUAUCGACCUUGCCAGCCUUCUUAUCUACCAAGUAUCUAGGGUAAUUCUGCUCUAGUGGUUGUUCCCCUUAUUACAGAAGCACUUAGUCUCGGGUUUGGGUUUUACCUUGGGUUUCUUCACUAGAGCAGCAGCUGAUUUGCCGUUUCAUGAAGUAUCCCUUCAUGCCCUUGCCCUUCUUGAAACUAGUGGUUUCACCAACCAUCAACAAUUGAUGCUCCUUCUUGAUUUCUACUUUCGCGGUGUCAAACAUCGCGAAUACCUCAAGGAUCAUCAUAUCUAUCCUUGAUAUGUUAUAGUUCAUCACGAAGCUCUAACAGCUUGGUGGCAAUGACUUUGGAGAACCAUCACUGUCUUAUCUGGAAGAUCAACUCCCACUCGAUUCAAAUGAUUGUUGUACUCAGACAAUCUGAGCACAAGCUCAACAAUUGAGCUUUUCUCCUUAGUUUGCAGGUUUAAGAAAGUCAUCGGAGGUCUUAUACCUCUUGACAUGGGCACGAGCCUGAAAUCCCAAUUUCAGCCCUCAAACAUCUCAUAUGUUUCGCGACGUUUCAAAAAUGUCUUUGGUGCCUCAACUCUAAACCGUUUAACUGAACUAUCACGUAGUUAUCAAAACGUGUACAAACGACGUUUGGGGUUCAGCACACUGAGCGGUGCAUUAAGGACAUAAGCCUUCUAUGAAGCAAUGAGGACAAUCCUCAGUUUACGGACCUAGUCCGCAUAAUUGCUACUAUCAAUUUUCAACUAUUUUUUCUCUAGGAACAUAUCCAAACAGUAGAACUACAGCGCGAGCUACGACAUAAUUUGCAAAAACCUUUUGACUAUGUUCAGGAUAAUUAAGUUCAUCUUAUGAACUCCCACUCAGAUAGACAUCCCUCUAGUCAUCUAAGUGAUUACAUGAUCCGAGUCAAACUAGGCCGUGUCCGAUCAUCACGUGAGACGGACUAGUCAUCAUCGGUGAACAUCUUCAUGUUGAUCGUAUCUUCUAUACGACUCAUGUUCGACCUUUCGGUCUCCGUGUUCCGAGGCCAUGUCUGUACAUGCUAGGCUCGUCAAGUUAACCCUAAGUGUUUUGCAUGUGUUCCGAGGCCAUGUCUGUACAUGCUAGGCUCGUCAACACCCGUUGUAUUUGAACGUCUGAAUGAAACACCCGAUCAUCACGUGAUGUUUUGAAACAGCGAACUGUCGCAAGGUGCAUAGUUAGGGGAGAACACUUCUUGAAAUUGUUGUAAGGGAUCAUCUUAUUUACUACCGUCGUUCUAAGCAAAUAAGAUGUAUAAACAUGAUAAACAUCACAUGCAAUCAAAUAGUGACAUGAUAUGGCCAUCAUCACUUUGCUCCUUUUGAUCUCCAUCUUCGGGGCUCCAUGAUCAUCAUCGUCACCGGCAUGACACCAUGAUCUCCAUCAUCAUGAUCUCCAUCAUCGUGUCUUCAUGAAGUUGCCUCGCCAACUAUUACUUCUACUACUAUGGCUAACGGUUAGCAAUAAAGUAAAGUAAUUACAUGACGUUUAAGUUGACACGCAGGUCACAAAUAAAUAAAGACAACUCCUAUGGCUCCUGCCGGUUGUCAUACUCAUCGACAUGCAAGUCGUGAUUCCUAUUACAAGAACAUGAUCAAUCUCAUACAUCACAUAUAUCAUUCAUCACAUCCUUUUUGGCCAUAUCAUAUCACAUAGCAUACCCUGCAAAAACAAGUUAGACGUCCUCUAAUUGUUGUUUGCAUGUUUUACGUGGCUGCUAUGGGUUUCUAGCAAGAACGUUUCUUACCUACGCAUGAACCACAACGUGAUAUGCCAAUUGCUAUUUACCCUUCAUAAGGACCCUUUUCAUCGAAUCCGAUCCGACUAAAGUGGGAGAGACAGACACCCGCCAGCCACCUUAUGCAACUAGUGCAUGUUUGUCGGUGGAACCGGUCUCACGUAAGCGUACGUGUAAGGUUGGUCCGGGCCGCUUCAUCCCACGAUGCCGCCGAAUCAAGAUAAGACUAGUAACGGCAAGCAUAUUGAACAAUAUCGACGCCCACAACUACUUUGUGUUCUACUCAUGCAAAGAAUCUACGCAAUAGACCUAGCUCAUGAUGCCACUGUUGGGGAACGUAGCAGAAAUUCAAAAAAAUUCCUACGUAACACCAAGAUCUAUCUAUGGAGAGACCAGCAACGAGUAGAAAGGGGAGUGCAUCUACAUACCCUUGUAGAUCGCUAAGCGGAAGCGUUCAAGUGAACGGGGUUGAUGGAGUCGUACUCGUCGUGAUUCAGAUCACCGAUGAUCCUAGUGCCGAACGGACAGCACCUCCGCGUUCAACACACGUACAGCUCGACGAUGUCUCCCACGCCUUGAUCCAGCAAGGAGAGAGGGAGAGGUUGAGGAAGACUCCAUCCAGCAGCAGCACAACGGCGUGGUGGUGAUGGAGGAGCGUGGCAAUCCUGCAGGGCUUCGCCAAGCACCUACGGGAGAGGAGGAGGUGUCACGGGAGGGAGGGAGGCGCCAAGGGCUCAGGUAUGGAUGCCCUUAACUUCGUACCUUACAACUCAGGCAAGAACUCCUUUUUUGACUGAUCCAUCUUGAACACCUUCAAGAUCACGUCAAGGCAUGUGCUCAUUUGAAAGUACCAUUAAGCGUUUUGAUCUAUCCUUAUAGAUCUUGAUGCUCAAUGUUCAAGUAGCUUAAUCCAGGUUUUCCAUUGAAAACACUUUCCAAAUAACCCUAUAUGCUUUCCAGAAAUUCUACGUCAUUUCUGAUCAUUAAUAUGUCAACAACAUAUACUCAUCAGAAAUUCUAUAGUGCUCCCACUCACUUCUUUGGAAAUACAAGUUUCUCAUAAACUUUGUAUACACCCAAAAUCUUUGAUCAUCAUCAAGCAUACAUUCCAACUCCGAGAUGCUCACUCCAGUCCUCAGAAGGAUUGCUGGAGCUUUGCAUACUUAUUAGCAUAUUUCAGGAUAGACAAAACCUUCCGGUUGUAUCACAUACAACCUUUCCUCAAGAAUCAUCGAGGAAACAAUGUUUUGACAUCCUAUCUGCAAGAUUUCAUAAAUAAUGCAGUAAUUGCUAAUAUAAUUCCAACAGACUCUUAGCAUCGCUACGAGUGAGAAAGUCUCAUCGUAGUCAACUCCUUGAACUUGUCGAAAAACAUCUUAACGACAAGUCGAGCUUUCUCAAUGGUGACACUUACCAUCAUUGUCUGUCUUCCUUUCAAAAUCCAUAUGUACCUAACAGCCUUACGACCAUCAAGUAGUUCUUCCAAAGUCUACACUUUGUUUUCAUACAUGGAUCCUCUCUCGGGUUUUAUGGCCUUGAGCCAUUUAUCGGAAUCCGGGCCCACCAUCGCUUCUCCAUAGCUCAUAGGUUCAUUGUUGUCUAGCAACAUGACUUCCAAGACAGGAUUACGUACCACUCUGAAGUAGUACGCAUCCUUGUCAUCCCACGAGGUUUGGUAGUGACUUGAUCCGAAGUUUCAUGAUCACUAUCAUAAGCUUCCACUUCUGUUGGUGUACGUGCCACAGGAACAACUUCCUGUGCCCUGCUACACACUUGUUGAAGUGACGGUUCAAUAACCUCAUCAAGUCUCCACCAUCCUCCCACUCAACUUUUCGAGAGAAACCUUUCCUCGAAAAAGGACCCGAUUCAAGAAACAAUCCCUAUUGCUUUCGGAUCUGAAUUAGGAGGUAUACCCAACUAUUUUUGGGUGUCCUAUGAAGAUGCAUUUUAUCUGCUUUGGGUUCGAGCUUAUCAACCUGAAACCUUUUCACAUAAGCGUCGCAGCCCCAAACCUUUAAGAAACGACAACUUAGGUUUCUCUAAACGGUGUCGUCUCAACGGAAUUACGUGGUGCCCUAUUUAAAGUGAAUGUGGUUGUCUCUAAUGCCUAACCCAUAAACUAUAGUGGUACUUCGAUAAGAGACAUCAUGGUAUGCAUCAUAUCCAAUAGGGUGCAACUAUGAUGUUCGGACUCACCAUCACACUAUGGUGUUCCAGGCUGUAUUAGUUGUGAAACUAUUUCCACAAUGUCUUAAUUCUGUGCCAAACUCGUAAUUCAGAUAUUCAUCUCUAUGAUCAUAUCAUAGAUAUUUUAUCCUCUUGUCACGACGAUCUUUCAACUUCACCCUGAAAUUACUUGAACCUUUCAAUAAUUCAGACUCGUGAUUCAUCAAGUAAAUAUACUCAACAUCUACUCAAAUUAUCUGUGAAGUAAGAACAUAACAAUAUCCACUACAUGCCUCAGCACUCAUUGGACUGUACACAUCAAAAUGUAUUACUUCCAACAAGUUGCUAUCUUGUUCCAUCUUACUGAAAACGAGGCUUUUCAGUCAUCUUGCCCGUGUGGUAUGAUUUGCAUGUCCCAAGUGAUUCAAAAUCAAGUGAGUCAAAAUGGUCCAUUUGCAUGGAGUUUCUUCAUGCAUAUACACCAAUAGACAUGGUUCGCAUGUCUCAAACUUUUCAAAAACGAGUGAGCCCAAAGAUCCAUCAUUAUGGAGCUUCUUCAUGCGUUUUAUACCGAUAUGACUUACGUGGCAGUGCCACAAGUAGGUGGUACUAUCAUUACUAUCUUAUAUCUUUUGGCAUGAAAAUGUGUAUCCCUACGAUCAAAAUUCAAUAAACCAUUCCUUUAGGUGCAAGAGCACUUAUUCAGGUUUAAUACUAAUCUUGAUGGUAGAGGGAGCGUGCGAUGUUAGAUCACAUCAAACUUGGAAACACUUCCAACACAUAUCGUCAGCUCACCUUUAGCUAGUCUCCGUUUUAUUCCGUAGCCUUUUGUUUCGAGUUACUAACACUUAGCAACCGAACCGGUAUCUAAUACCCUGGUGCUACUAGGAGUACUAGUAAAGUACACAUUAACAUAAUGUAUAUCCAAUAUACUUCUAUCGACCUUGCCAGCCUUCUUAUCUACCAAGUAUCUAGGGUAAUUCUGCUCUAGUGGUUGUUCCCCUUAUUACAGAAGCACUUAGUCUUGGGUUUGGGUUUUACCUUGGGUUUCUUCACUAGAGCAGCAGCUGAUUUGCCGUUUCAUGAAGUAUCCCUUCUUGCCCUUGCCCUUCUUGAAACUAGUGGUUUCACCAACCAUCAACAAUUGAUGCUCCUUCUUGAUUUCUACUUUCGCGGUGUCAAACAUUGCGAAUACCUCAAGGAUCAUCAUAUCUAUCCCUGAUAUGUUAUAGUUCAUCACGAAGCUCUAACAGCUUGGUGGCAAUGACUUUGGAGAACCAUCACUGUCUUAUCUGGAAGAUCAACUCCCACUCGAUUCAAGCGAUUGUUGUACUCAGACAAUCUGAGCACAAGCACAACAAUUGAGCUUUUCUCCUUAGUUUGCAGGUUAAGAAAGUCAUCGGAGGUCCUAUACCUCUUGACAUGGGCACGAGCCUGAAAUCCCAAUUUCAGCCCUCAAAACAUCUCAUAUGUUUCGCGAUGUUUCAAAAACGUCUUUGGUGCCUCAACUCUAAACCGUUUAACUGAACUAUCACGUAGUUAUCAAAACGUGUAUGUCAGAUGUUCGCAACAACCACAGACAACGUUCGAGGUUCAGCACACUGAGCGGUGCAUUAAGGACAUAAGCCUUCUAUGAAGCAAUGAGGACAAUCCUCAGUUUACGGACCUAGUCCGCAUAAUUGCUACUAUCAACUUUCAACUAAUUUUUCUCUAGGAACAUAUCUAAACAGUAGAACUAUAGCGUGAGCUACGACAUAAUUUGCAAAAACCUUUUGAUUAUGUUCAGGAUAAUUAAGUUCAUCUUAUGAACUCCCACUCAGAUAGACAUCCCUCUAGUCAUCUAAGUGAUUACAUGAUCCGAGUCAAACUAGGCCGUGUCCGAUCAUCACGUGAGACGGACUAGUCAUCAUCGGUGAACAUCUUCAUGUUGAUCGUAUCUUCUAUACGACUCAUGUUCGACCUUUCGGUCUCCGUGUUCCGAGGCCAUGUCUGUACAUGCUAGGCUCGUCAAGUUAACCCUAAGUGUUUUGCAUGUGUUCCGAGGCCAUGUCUGUACAUGCUAGGCUCGUCAACACCCGUUGUAUUUGAACGUUAGAAUCUAACACCCGAUCAUCACGUGGUGCUUCGAAACACGAACUGUCGCAACGGUGCACAGUUAGGGGAGAACACUUCUUGAAAUUGUUGUAAGGGAUCAUCUUAUUUACUACCGUCGUUCUAAGCAAAUAAGAUGUAUAAACAUGAUAAACAUCACAUGCAAUCAAAUAGUGACAUGAUAUGGCCAUCAUCACUUUGCUCCUUUUGAUCUCCAUCUUCGGGGCUCCAUGAUCAUCAUCGUCACCGGCAUGACACCAUGAUCUCCAUCAUCAUGAUCUCCAUCAUCGUGUCUUCAUGAAGUUGCCUCGCCAACUAUUACUUCUACUACUAUGGCUAACGGUUAGCAAUAAAGUAAAGUAAUUACAUGACGUUUAAGUUGACACGCAGGUCACAAAUAAAUAAAGACAACUCCUAUGGCUCCUGCCGGUUGUCAUACUCAUCGACAUGCAAGUCGUAAUUCCUAUUACAAGAACAUGAUCAAUCUCAUACAUCACAUAUAUCAUUCAUCACAUCCUUUUUGGCCAUAUCACAUCACAUAGCAUACCCUGCAAAAACAAGUUAGACGUCCUCUAAUUGUUGUUUGCAUGUUUUACGUGGCUGCUAUGGGUUUCUAGCAAGAACGUUUCUUACCUACGCAUGAACCACAACGUGAUAUGCCAAUUGCUAUUUACCCUUCAUAAGGACCCUUUUCAUCGAAUCCGAUCCGACUAAAGUGGGAGAGACAGACACCCGCCAGCCACCUUAUGCAACUAGUGCAUGUUUGUCGGUGGAACCGGUCUCACGUAAGCGUACGUGUAAGGUUGGUCCGGGCCGCUUCAUCCCACGAUGCCGCCGAAUCAAGAUAAGACUAGUAACGGCAAGCAUAUUGAACAAUAUCGACGCCCACAACUACUUUGUGUUCUACUCGUGCAAAGAAUCUACGCAAUAGACCUAGCUCAUGAUGCCACUGUUGGGGAACGUAGCAGAAAUUCAAAAUUUUCCUACGUAACACCAAGAUCUAUCUAUGGAGAGACCAGCAACGAGUAGAAAGAGAGUGCAUCUACAUACCCUUGUAGAUCGCUAAGCGGAAGCGUUCAAGUGAACGGGGUUGAUGGAGUCGUACUCGUCGUGAUUCAGAUCACUGAUGAUCUAGUGCCGAACGGACAGCACCUCCGCGUUCAACACACGUACAGCCCGACGAUGUCUCCCACGCCUUGAUCCAGCAAGGGGAGAGGGAGAGGUUGAGGAAGACUCCAUCCAGCAGCAGCACAACGGCGUGGUGGUGAUGGAGGAGCGUGGCAAUCCUGCAGGGCUUCGCCGAGCACCUACGGGAGAGGAGAUGUGUCACGGGAGGGAGAGGGAGGCAACCAAAGGCCUUAGGUAUGAUUGCUCCUCCUUUUCCCCACUAUAUAUAGGGCCAAGGGAGAGGGGGAGGGCGCAGCCUUGCCCCCUCCUCCAAGGAAGGGGUGCGGCUAAGGAUGGGGAGGAGUCCAUCCUCCCCAAGGCACCUCGGAGGUGCCUUCCCCUUUAAGGACUCUCCCCUUUUUCCUUUAUCUUGGCGCAUGGGCCUCUAGGGGCUGGUGCCCUUGGCCCAUGUAGGCCAAGGCGCACCCCCUACAGCCCAUGUGGCCCCCCCGGGCAGGUGGCCCCACCCGGUGGGCCCCCGGGACCCUUCCGGUGGUCCCGGUACAAUACCGAUGACCCCGAAACUUGUCCCGAUGGCCGAAACAGGACUUCCUAUAUAUAAAUCUUUACCUCCGGACCAUUCCGGAACUCCUCGUGACGUCCGGGAUCUCAUCCGGGACUCCGAACAACAUUCGGUAACCACAUACAAGCUUCCUUUAUAACCCUAGCGUCAUCGAACCUUAAGUGUGUAGACCCUACGGGUUCGGGAGACAUGCAGACAUGACCGAGACGUUCUCCGGUCAAUAACCAACAGCGGGAUCUGGAUACCCAUGUUGGCUCCCACAUGUUCCACGAUGAUCUCAUCGGAUGAACCACGAUGUCAAGGACUCAAUCGAUCCCGUAUACAAUUCCCUUUGUCUAGCGGUAUGGUACUUGCCCGAGAUUCGAUCGUCGAUAUACCGAUACCUUGUUCAAUCUCGUUACCGGCAAGUCUCUUUACUCGUUCCGUAACACAUCAUCCCGUGAUCAACCCCUUGGUCACAUUGUGCACAUUAUGAUGAUGUCCUACCGAGUGGGCCCAGAGAUACCUCUCCGUUUACACGGAGUGACAAAAUCCCAAUCUCGAUUCGUGCCAACCCAACAGACACUAUCAGAGAUACCCGUAGUGUACCUUUAUAGCCACCCAGUUACGUUGUGACGUUUGGCACACCCAAAGCACUCCUACGGUAUCCGGGAGUUGCACAACCUCAUGGUCUAAGGAAAUGAUACUUGACAUUAGAAAAGCUUUAGCAUACGAACUACAUGAUCUUGUGCUAGGCUUAGGAUUGGGUCUUGUCCAUCACAUCAUUCUCCUAAUGAUGUGAUCCCGUUAUCAACGACAUCCAAUGUCCAUGGUCAGGAAACCGUAACCAUCUAUUGAUCAACGAGCUAGUCAACUAGAGGCUUACUAGGGACAUGGUGUUGUCUAUGUAUCCACACAUGUAUCUGAGUUUCCUAUCAAUACAAUUCUAGCAUGGAUAAUAAACGAUUAUCAUGAACAAGGAAAUAUAAUAAUAAUCAAUUUAUUAUUGCCUCUAGGGCAUAUUUCCAACACAUAUAUGUUUAUUUUUAUGCACGGGCUUCGAUGCAAGCGGCAACCUCGCAUGCCACUGAACUGUCCGAACUAAAGCGGCAGUUGGAGGAAAAGCAGGGUAUGUGAUGCAAAAACUUAUCUUUAAAUGACAAGAGUUCUAGUUUAUUAUCUAACUAAACUUUAUGAUUAUGCUCAUAGCGGACACGUCUGAGGUCGAAGCCCUCAAGAGUGCGCUGGCUGAGGCCAAAAAGGAGGCGGACGAGGAACGAGCCGCCCGACAAAAGCAUGAGGCGAGGUUGGAUGAAGUCCAACAAGAGCUCGCUGAUGCUAUAAGCAAAUGUGAGUCCUUGGAGCGUAAGGUGUCGUAUCAAGAGUCCGAACUUGCUACGGCGCUCCAAAGUGCAAAGGAGGCCCGAAUUGAAGCCCAAGGCGCCUGUCAGGAGAUCCGAGAGGCCAAGCAGAUCGCAGCGGGUAAGGCAUUUAACGUGCAGAGCAAAAUUAUAAGGAGAAAGUAUACCUUACUGACACGCAUUUGGAGUUCUCCAGGAGCCUUUCCGGAUCUACCCCAAAGUGUUGCUGAUGCUGCAGAUUUCUUUUGGGCCAAAGAGGGAAGCUCAACAGAGAAGCUAUUUGGUCGUAGUACCUUGCGCUAGAGCAUCCUGUGACCCUCAGUGAUCAACUGAAACAACUGACCGAGCUACAUAGGGUGGCCGGACUAGCCAUGAAGGAUGCCAUAGUCUGUCUUUAGCCAACCGACCCCAUACCUAAUAGCUACUUUGGACUUGUGAAGCGGCUGGUCGAAGCAUGCCCACGGCUUGAUGCUGUAAAGCGGUCGGCCUGUAUCAAAGGUGCACAGAUGGCCUUUGCCCGUGUCAAGGUGCAGUGGGCGAAGAUGAAUGCCACCAGUCUUGCAACCGAAGGACCGCCCGCAGGGAAGGAGCAUUGUACGCCGGAGAAAUAUUUCAACGACGUCCUGGAAGGCUCCCAUAUUAUAGAGGGACUGUGUUCGAAGGACGUCAUGUUUGAAUGAAUGUAUCUGUGCUGCCCAAGCUUUGUAUAAUGAAAACAAGGUGUUUAUAUAAUUUUAGUCUUGUUUUAUCUGAAUUUAUUUAUCCUCUGUUGCGGCCGUUUAUUGAAUCUGAGAGUUGGCAGUCGUCGGCUUUAGUCCCUCGCGUAGAUACUACGGGGGCGUUCGGAACAACACAAAAACACACUUGACCCAACGACUUGGUCCUUGAAGGAGGUGCUAGUGCGGCGAACCAGGAAAUCAGACUAUGCAGCUUUAUUACUCUCACUUAGCCAUAGCAGUUUGACAAUAAGAUUGUAGGCGCAACCCCUGGUAUUGUUCGGUGAUCCGAACUCGGGUGUUGUAGACACCUGACUAGAUAAAAACCAGUCCUUCGUGCGACACGAAAAAAAUCACAAAAGAUUUAUACUGAGUCAGCGAAUAGCUGACCAGCUCUCGCCGCAUCAUGACAGUCAGUUUUCGGCUUUCUCUACUGAGGUGUUUAUCCGGCUAACCAGAAACACAAUCGUAGUAGUUCUCCCUUUACUUCCUUAGUCGAACAAUCAGAACGUAAGGUAGCAACCACAGGAGCCGGGAAACCCAACUAUUGACCCAAGACAUGAUUCGGAGCCGAUGCAUAUAAUGCUAGAUUCGGGACACCGAAUUGCACUUGUGAAAGUGUUCGGACUUAUGGUAAAUUUAAGAAAUGUACGCGGCUGAUGGAGCCCCUGGCGAUUUAGGUCGUGCCGAGGUGUACAUGACAACCAGAUGAUAAAGAAGAAGAAAUACGGGUAAGCCAGUACCAAAUAGUUUUGGGCGAAAAACUGUUUCCAUUAUAGUCUGAUUGAUACGUCAAAAUGUAUUUAUACAAAUAAUGUUGUAAGCAUCAAGGCUAUUUUACAUGCCGAGCUAAAAGGAAAGUUGUGUACAAGUAUUAGAAAAGGGGAGGAGGUGAUCUUAAAAGAUUCUUUAGGUACUCCGCCGUACAUCUACGCUGCUUUUCGCCUCGGGGGUGAUCCUUUGAGAGGAUUAAUAAAUAAGUUUUCGUAAGGAGCCGGAAAAAGGGCCCUUGACACCAUAGAAAGGGUGAUGUGGGUUGUAAAGAACAUGAAAAGAAUAGAUGAAUUUAAGAAAAAGAUAGAUGGGGGUCCAGGUACGGUUGAGCCGUAUUGUGGACUUUAUCCUUGAUAUGCCUCCAUCAUCGCCCAUGGUAUUUUUAGUGCAUAGUUAUGAGCACGCGUGCAUACGCCGCUACUUGAUUGGGGCAAAGACGAAGGCCGGCUUGCUAAUCGAGCUCCUGACGGGCUGUACUAUCAUUCUGCGGGGUAGUCCGGACUCGUUUGACAGGGUCUGGUGGCUUGACUGCCGAUGUGGAGUUUGGCUUGAUAAGGCCGAUCUGCGCUUCUGCUGUGAGGGCCGCAGUGUGUUCCUCUGUACGGAGGGAGCGAUCCAUGUUUCCAUGGACUGUUAUAACACCACGUGGUCCUGGCAUUUUGAGUUUUAAGUAAGCAUAGUGCGGGACCGCAUUAAAGCGGGCAAACGUAGUUCGUCCGAGUAGUGCGUGAUAGCCACUGCAGAAAGGGACAAUGUCGAAGAUCAAGUCUUUGCUUUGGAAGUUGUGCUGCAAACCGAAUACGACCUCCAAUGUGAUUGAGCCCGUGCAGCGGGCCUCGACACCAUGUAUUACUCCUUUAAAGGAAGUUUUGGUGGGCUUGAUCUUGAUGAGUCAAUACCCAUUCUCUGGAUUGCGUCCUGAUAGAGCAGGUUAAGACUGCUGCCGCCGUCCAUGAGGACUCUCGUGAGGUGAAAUCCAUCGAUGAUUGGGUCGAGGACCAAUGCGGCUGAACCUCCAUGAUGUAUACUGGUCGGAUGGUCCCUUCGAUGAAAAGUGAUCGAGCAUGCUGACCAUGGGUUGAAUUUUGGGGCGACUGGCUCUAUCGCAUAGACGUCCCUUAACGCGUGCUUGUGCUCCCUUUUGGGGAUGUGAGUAGCGUAUAUCAUGUUCACCGUCUUGAUUUUGUGGGGAAAUUUCUUCUGUCCCCCUGUGUUUGGUGGGCGAGGCUCCUCAUCAUCGUCCUCGCUGGGCGACCCUUUCCCCGUGUGUUCGGUCUUUAACUUAUCGACUUGUUUAAAGACCCAACAACUUCUGUUGGUAUGAUUAGCAGGCUUGUCAGGGGUGCCAUGAAUCUGGCAAGGUCGAUCAAGUAUUCGGUCCAGGCUAGAUGAACCGUAUUUAUUUCUUUUGAAUGGCCUCUUCCGCUGACCGGGCUUGGAGCCACUGAAUCCGGUGUUGACCGCCGUGUCUUCGGCAUUGUUAGUGUUGCUCUGAUGCUUGUUUUUGUUGCGUCGAGGCCUGCCGUUUCUGUUCCUAGCUUCGUAAGUGCCAGGAUCGCUGGUACUGUUGCUGCUACGGGCAAGACAACUAUCUUCACCUGCGCAAAAGCGGGUCAUAAGUGAUGUGAGGGCUGCCAUGGACUUUGGUUUUUCUUGGCCAAGGUGUCGGGCAAGCCAUUCAUCGCGGAUGUUGUGUUUAAAGGUUGUUAGAGCCUUGGUGUCCGGACAGUCAACAAUUUGGUUCUUUUUUAUUAGGAACAGGGUCCAAAAUUUUCUAGCUGACUGUCCGGGCAGUUGGACUAUGUGACUGAGGUCAUCGGCGUCUGGAGGUCGGAUAUAAGUGCCUUGGAAGUUGUCUCUAAAGGUGUCCUCCAGGUCUUCCCAGCUUCCAAUAGAGUUUUCUGGGAGGCUAUUUAACCAGUGUCGAUCUGGUCCCUUAAGUUUGAGAGGGAGGUAUUUGAUGGCAUGUAGAUCAUCACUGCAAGUCAUGUGAAUGUGGAGAAGAAAAUCUUCAAUCCAUACUACGGGAUUUGUUGUGCCGUCGUAUGAUUCGAUAUUCACGGGUUUAAAACCUUUUGGGAACUCGUGCUUCAUGACCUCAUCAGCAUAGGGGGUGUGCGGUGCCUCUAUAUCGGGCCACGUCCCAACGCAGUUCGGAUGGAGUCCGUAUGCGAUUUUCAGCCCUGGUGAGGUUGUGCUUGUCGCGCCAGGCUUGAUGGUCAUCUUCUCGCGCUGGGGCUCGCCCCCUUGAUCCAUAUAUUGAUCUAGUCUGACUGGCUCGAUUAUCCAAGUCCUGACGUAGGUCGUAAGUGUAUCCUGCAGCUGUUGUCUCUCUACCUUUACGGCGGGGUGGUGUAGGCGGGUGUUUGGCUUGAGUUGCCACUCUGUCCCGGCCAUGUGGUGGUCGGUCAGGUCUGUCGCCUGCUUUACGCUUUGGCGGUGCAGGCUCUGGGGCCUCGUCGUCGAAUUGGGGUAGCAGCUUGCACUUUGGGUAACUCUUGGUUGGGCGCUUGAGUCCGUGUUCCUCGACUGCUAGGAUAUCAGUCCAUCUGUCAUUGAGCAGAUCUUGAUCAGCUUGAACCUGCUGCUACUUCCGUUUCAGGCUUCUCGCCAUGGCCAUUAGCUGGCACUUAAGUUGCUCUUGUUCGAGGGGAUCCUCUGGCAUGAUGAAUUCUUCGUCGCCAAGGCUCUCGUCCUCUUUGGAGAUCGGUACGUAGUUAAUAUCCUCCGAGCCCGUGUCCUUGAUAGAAUCGUCGGUGUUGACUUGCCCAUCCUCCAAAUCAUCAUGUUCGGAUGUUUGUUUGAUAGGGGCUUCUUGGUCUUCGGUGUUCUCCGGAGUAUUAUUGUCUCCAGUGCUGGUAUUGUUGUCUUUGUCGCGACGCGAUUUUGAGCGGCCCCGAUGACGUCGGCGUUUUGGUGGUGCCUCAGAAGGCUUGUCCUCGUCUGUAUCCUUCCCACCAUUGUCGUCAUCCUCUUUAGGUGUGUCCACCAUGUACACGUCAUAUGUGGAAGUAGCCGUCCAGCAUCCGGUGACCGGCGGGUUCUAGCUUUGCUUGUCUCCGGCAUCGUCGUUCAUACCGUCGAUGUCUUCGGAGUCAUAGUCGAGCAUGUCGAUUAAUUCCUCGACAGUGGCUAUGAAGUGGGUGGUGGGUGGGAUGUAAAAUUCCCUGCUCUCAGCCCCUAGUGCAGGCUGGGCAUAGUUCGACAGCGAUCCUUCUGUAAUGGCGAGGGAUCGCAUUAAGUCCAGAACCUCGUUUAAAGAUGAGGUUUGGAUAGGGAAGCGAGAAUCCGUGGAGCGAGGCAGGACAGGAGUUCCCUGGCCGAGCUUGUAUAACACAAACCUUGAGAGUUUGGAACUGGUGUGUGGAGGUGAGUUUGGCUGGAUGAGGAUAGAGGGAGCCCGGAGUUGUUGGGGAACGCAGUAAUUUCAAAAUUUUCCUACGAUCACGCAAGAUCUAUCUAGGUGAUGCAUAGCAACGAGACGGGAGAGUGUUGUCUACGUACCCUCGUAGACCGAAAGCAGAAGUGUUAUGACAACGCGGUUGAUGUAGUCGUACGUCUUCACGAUCCGACCGAUCCUAGCACCGAAGGUAUGGCACCUCCGCGAUCUGCACAAGUUCAGCUUGGUAACGUCCCACGAACUCUAGAUCCAGCUGAGGUCGAGGGAGAGUUUCAUCAGCACGACGGCAUGGUGACGAUGAUGAUGAAUUUACCAGCGCAGGGCUUCGCCUAAGCACUAUGACAAUAUGACCGAGGUGUAAAUCUGUGGAGGGGGGCACCGCACAUGGCUAAAAGAUCAACUUGAUCAACUUGUGUGUCUAUGGGGUGCCCCCUCCCCCGUAUAUAAAGGAGUGAAGGAGGGGAGGGCCGGCUCUCUAUGGCGCACCCAAGGGGGGGGGAGUCCUACUCCCAGUAGGAGUAGGUUUCCCCCCUUCCCUAGUUGGAGUAGGAGAAGAAGGAAGAGGGAGAGCGAGAGAAGGAAAGGGGGGCAGCCCCUUCCCAAUUCAGAUUGGACUUGGGGGGGCCCACCUUGGCCGCCUCCUCCUCUCUUCCACCAUGGCCCAUUAAGGCCCAUUGACUCCCCGGGGGGUUCCAGUCUCCGGAAAAAUGCCUGAACCACUCGGAACCUUUCUAGUGUCCAAACAUAGCCUUUCAAUAUAUCAAUCUUUAUGUCUCGACCAUUUCGAGACUCCUCGUCAUGUCCGUGAUCACAUCUGGGACUCCGAACAACCUUCGGUACAUUAUAUAUCACAUAAACUCAUAAUACCAAUCGUCAUCGAACGUUAAGCGCGCGAACCCUAUGGGUUCGAGAACUAUGUAGACAUGACCGAGACACGUCUCCGGUCGAUAACCAAUAGCGGAACCUGGAUGCUCAUAUUGGUUCCUACAUAUUCUACGAAGAUCUUUAUCGGUCAAACCGCAUAACAACAUACAUUGUUCCCUUUGUCAACGGUAUGUCACUUGCUCGAGAUUCGAUCGUCGGUAUCUCAAUACCUAGUUCAAUCUCGUUACCGGCAAGUCUCUUUACUCGUUUCGUAAUACUUCAUCCCGCAACUAACUCAUUAGUCACAAUGCUUGCAAGGCUUAUAGUGAUGAGUAUUACCAAGAGGGCCCAGAGAUACCUCCCCGAAACACGGAGUGCAAAUCCUAAUCUCGAUCUAUGCCAACCCAACAAACACCUUCCUAGACACCUAUAGAGCACCUUUAUAAUCACCCAUUUGCGUUGUAAUGUUUGGUAGCACACAAGUGUUCCUCCAGUAUUCGGGAGUUGCAUAAUCUCAUAGUCUGAGGAACUUGUAUAAGUCAUGAAGAAAGCAGUAGCAAUGAAACUGACACGAUCAUAAUGCUAAGCUAACGGAUGGGUCAUGUCCAUCAACUCAUUCUCCUAAUGAUGUUAUCCCGUUCAUCAAAUGACAACACAUGUCUAUGGUUAGGAAACAUAACCAUCUUUGAUUAACGAGCUAGUCAACUAGAGGCAUACUAGGGACUAUAUGUUUUGUCUAUGUAUUCACACAUGUACUAAGUUCCGAUUAAUACAAUUCUAGCAUGAAUAAUAAACAUUUAUCAUGAAUUAAGGAAAUAAAUAAUAACUUUAUUAUUGCCUCUAGGGCAUAUUUCCUUCACUCUCCCACUUGCACUAGAGUCAAUAAUCUAGAUUACAUAGUAAUGAUUCUAACACCCAUGGAGCUUUGGUGCUGAUCAUAUUUUGCUCGUGGAAGAGGCUUGGUCAACGGGUCUGCAACAUUCAGAUCCAUGUGUAUCUUGCAAAUCUCUAUUUCCCCCUCCGACACUUGAUGACGGAUGGAAUUGCAGCGUCUCUUGAUGUGCUUGGUUCGCUUGUGAAAUUUGGAUUCCUUUCCAAGGCAAUUGCACCAGUAUUGUCACAAAAGAUUUUCAUUGGACCCGAUGCACUAGGUAUGACACUUAGAUCGGAUAUGAACUCCUUCAUCCAAACUCCUUCAUUCGUUGCUUCCGAAGCAGUAAUGCACUCCGCUUAACACGUAGAUCCCGCCAUGAUGUUUUGUUUAGAACUACACCAACUGAUAGCUCCUCCAUUCAAUAAAAAUAUGUAUCCAUUUUGUGACUUAGAGUCAUCCAGAUUAGUGUCAAAACUUGCAUCAACGUAACCGUUUACAACGAGCUCUUUUUCACCUCCAUAAACGAGAAACAUAUCCUUAGUCCUUUUCAGGUAUUUCAGGAUGUUCUUGACCACUGUCCAAUGCUCCACUCCGGGAUUACUUUGGUACCUCCCUGCUAUGGUUAUAGCAAGGCACACAUCGGGUAUGGUACACAACAUUGCAUACAUGAUAGAACCUAUGGCUGAAGCAUAGGGAAUGACUUUCAUUUUCUCUCUAUCUUCUGCAGUGGUUGGGCAUUGAGUCUGACUCAACUUCACACCUUGUAACACAGGACUGAUCCAUUUUGAACUUCUUCAAAACUUUAUCAAGGUAUGUGCUUUGUGAAAGUCCAAUUAAGCGUCUUGAUCUAUCUCUAUAGAUCUUGAUGCCCAAUAUGUAAGCAGCUUCACCGAGGUCUUUCAUGGAAAAACUCUUAUUCAGGUAUCCCUUUAUGCUAUCCAGAAAUUCUAUAUCAUUUCCAAUCAACAAUAUGUCAUCCACAUAUGCUAUCAGAAAUGCUACAGAGCUCCCACUCACUUUCUUGUAAAUACAGACUUCUCCAAAAGCCUGUAUAAAACCAUAUGCUUUGAUCACACUAUCAAAGCGUUUAUUCCAACUCCGAGAGGCUUGCACCAGUCCAUAAAUGGAUUGUUGGAGCUUGCACACUUUGUUAGCACCCUUUGGAUCGACAAAACCUUCUGGUUGCAUCAUAUACAACUCUUCUUCCAGAAAUCCAUUCAGGAAUGUAGUUUUGACAUCCAUUUGCCAAAUUUCAUAAUCAUAAAAUGCAGCAAUUGCUAACAUGAUUCAGACAGACUUAAGCAUUGCUACGGGUGAGAAAGUCUCAUUGUAGUCAACUCCUUGAACUUGUUGAAAACCUUUUGCAACAAGUCGAGCUUUGUAAACAGUAACAUUAUCGUCUGCGUCGGUCUUCUUCUUAAAGAUCCAUUUAUUUUCUAUGGCUUGCCGAUCAUCAGGCAAGUCCACCAAAGUCCACACUUUGUUCUCAUACAUGGAUCCCAUCUCAUAUUUCAUGGCCUCAAGCCAUUUCACGGAAUCUGGGCUCAUCAUCGCUUCCUCAUAGUUCGUAGGUUCAUCAUGGUCCAGUAACAUGACUUCUAGAACAGGAUUACCGUACCACUCUGGUGCGGAUCUUAUUCUAGAAGACCUACGAGGUUCGGUAGUAACUUGAUCUGAAGCUUCAUGAUCAUCAUCAUUAGCUUCCUCACUAAUUGGUGUAGGAAUCACGGGAACUGAUUUCUGUGAUGAACUACUUUCCAAUAAGGGAGAAGGCACAACUACCUCAUCAAGUUCUACUUUCCUCCCACUCACUUCUUUCGAGAGAAACUCCUUCUCUAGAAAGGAUCCAUUCUUAGCAACAAAGAUUUUGCCUUCUUAUCUGUGAUAGAAGGUGUACCCAACAGUUUCCUUUGGGUAUCCUAUGAAGACGCACUUCUCCGAUUUGGGUUCGAGCUUAUCAGGUUGAAGCUUUUUCACAUAAGCAUCGCAGCCCCAAACUUUAAGAAAUGACAACUUUGGUUUCUUGCCAAACCAUAGUUCAUAAGGUGUCAUCUCAAAGGAUUUUGAUGGUGUCCUAUUUAAAGUGAAUGCAGCCGUCUCUAAAGCAUAAACCAAAACGACAGCGGUAAAUCAAUAUGACAAAUCAUAGAUCGCACCAUAUCCAAUAAAGUACGGUUACGACGUACGGACACACCAUUUCGCUGUGGUGUUCCAGGUGGCAUUAAUUGUGAAACUAUCCCAUGUUGUUUCAAAUGAAGACCACACUCAUAACUCAAAUAUUCUCCUCCAUGAUCAGAUCAUAGAAAUUUUAUUUUCUUGUUACGAUGAUUUUCCACUUCACUCUGAAAUUCUUUGAACUUUUCAAAUGUUUUAGACUUAUGUUUCAUUAAGUAGAUAUAACCAUAUCUGCUCAAAUCAUCUGUGAAGGUAAGAAAAUAGCGAUACCCACCACGAGCCUCAAUACUCAUUGUACCGCAUACAUCGGUAUGUAUUAUUUCCAACAAGUCAGUAGCUCAUUCCAUUGUUCCGGAGAACGGAGUUUUAGUCAUCUUUCCCAUAAGGCACGGUUUGCAUGCACCAAGUGAUUCAUAAUCAAGUGAUUCCAAAAGUCCAUUAGCAUGGAGUUUCUUCAUGCGCUUUACACCGAUAUGACCCAAACGGCAGUGCCACAAAUAAGUUGCACUAUCAUUAUUAACUUUGCAUCUUUUGGCUUCCAUAUUAUGAAUAUGUGUAUCAUCACUAUCAAGAUUCAACAAAAAUAGACCACUCAGCAAAGGUGCAUGACCAUAAAAGAUAUUACUCAUAUAAAUAGAACAACCAUUAUUCUCUGAUUUAAAUGAAUAACCAUCUCGCAUUAAACAAGAUCCAGAUAUAAUGUUCAUGCUCAACGCUGGCACAAAAUAACAAUUAUUCAUGUCUAAAACUAAUCCCGAUGGUAGAUGUAGAGGUAGCGUGCCAACGACGAUCACAUCAACCUUGGAACCAUUUCCAACACGCAUCGUCUCCUCGUCCUUAGCCAAUCUUUCCUUAAUACGUAGCCCCUGUUUUGAUUGCAAAUAUGAGCAAAAGAACCAGUAUCAAAUACACAAGCGCUACUGCGAGCAUUAGUUAAGUACACAUCAAUAACAUGAAUAUCAAAUAUACCUUUCACUUUGCCAUCCUUGUUAUCCACCAAAUACUUGGGGUAUUUCCGCUUCUAGUGACCAGUCCCUUUGCAGUAGAAGCACUCAGUUUCAGGCUUAUGUCCAGACUUGGGUUUCUUCUCUUGAGCAGCACCUUUUUGAUGUUCUUCUUGAAGUUCCCCUUCUUCCCUUUGCCCUUUUUCUUGAAACUAGUGGUCUUGUUGACCAUCAACACUUGAUGCUCCUUUUUUAUUUCUACCUUCGCAGCUUUUAGCAUCACGAAGAGCUCAGGAAUUGUCUUAUCCAUCCCUUGCAUAUUAUAGUUCAUCAUGAAGCCUUUAUAGCUUGGUGGCAGUGAUUGAAGAACUCUGUCAAUGAUACAAUCAACUGGAAGAUCAACUCCUAGUUGAGUCAAGUGGUUAUGGUACCCAGACAUUUUGAGUAUGUGUUCACUGACAGAACUAUUCUCCUCCAUUUUGUAGUUGUAGAACUUGUUGGAGACUUCAUAUCUCUCAACUCGGGCAUUUGCUUGAAAUAUUAACUUCAACUCUUGCAACAUCUCAUAUGCGCCAUGACGUUCAAAACGUCUUUGAAGUCCCGAUUCUAAGACGUAAAGCAUGGCAUACUGAACUAUCGAGUAGUCACCAGCUUUGCUCUGCCAGACAUUCUUAACGUCAUCAGUAGCAUCUGCAGCAGGCCUGGCACCUAGCGGUGCUUCCAGGACGUAAUUCUUCUAUGCAGCAAUGAGGAUAAUCCUCAAGUUACACACCCAGCCCAUGUAGUUGCUGCCAUCAUAUUUCAACUUAGCUUGUUGGAAAUAUGAGCAAUUUACCAAAUGAUUUUAUUAACCAAAAUAUUAGAUAAAGCAUGACUAAUAUAACAGGGAUAAAACUAGUCAUGCAAUCUAACAGAGAGAAGGUAAAUAACAUCUGCAUAUAUGAACUGCAUCCAAGCUUAUCUAGAGCAGACAGUAGGGCAAGUUCCAUAUAUGAAGUAGAACCUAACAUAUCUAGGAUAAACACUAGAACAAGGAACUGUAGCAGGACCUCAAACAGAAAGGAGAAGAACACAUACGGGACAACAACAGCAUUAGCACUGGACUUGGGGUCGGUGUCUUUGCCAGCCAUGUCGUCGAGGAGUUCGUCGACGUCGGGGAAGUAGUCGUCGGAGUCCGGGGCAUCCGUGACGAAAAGGUCAGUAGUCGCGUUGAGCACUCCCCAAAAACCUUAUCGCCCUUCUCCCAUACAGGACUCAAAGAGGUGUUCGGAGGCCUACUGUCCCGACCUGCGAUGCACGCCGCAAGCCGAGAUGGGGAAGAAUGUAGCAGCAACGCAGUGCUCAGGAAGUUGGUGGCGAGAGAUAGAUGGUCUUUCUGAUACGUCUCUCUGGAGAGGAGCGACCUCUCUUAUAUAGGCACAGGAGAGAGAGGCGAACAGGCUGCGACGGGAGGUGAAGCAACAAAGGGAGAUGAAGCGAAUAUGCGGCAGGCGAAGAGGUGGGCCGUUCGUAUUCAAUCUCCACUACAGCAAAAAUGUUUCAGCUCCUGUGUGACCGUUUGUAUACCCAUCGUGCGUGGAAAAAAUUUAGACAUCGGCUCGGCUCAUUCCCGCAACCCGCGGCGCAUCGUGACGAGGCGUGGCAUGGCGAGGCGAGCGGCGGAGGAGGAGCGCGCGUGGAUGUCCCUCUUGUUCUCAUGCUCAUACAUGUGGGGAAAGAACCUCCCUUAUAAAGAGGUCCAACUCCCUCUAAACUAGAAAUGUGGGACUAAACUUUAGUUCCACCUCUUGCCUUGCAUGAACGGGCUGCGUGGGCCUCUAGGAUUUAUAAGGAAUUUCUGAAACUGCUAUUGGGCUGGCCCAAAAUAGACAAAAUUCCAGCAAUCCCCCACCAGAUCCCAGAGGCACACAAAAUUUGCCUUUGGUUCUAAAACACUGUUUUAUAUACCAGUACUGCAGUGGAGACUGUUAAGUUGAACUUCGACCUACAACUCUAUGCUACACUAGUAAGCAACUUGAACAGCGGACUGGGCCUUGAACUGCAAGUUUUCUGCAAAUCUAGCUUCACACAAAGCCUUGACCUAUACUGGGCUACCGUGGGUCUUCCCCGCGGGUGGAGCUUAUGCGUCAUACUCCGAGACCUUUCAUGAGUUUACUAGAGAGAAGCCUACUCUCAUAGAUUGCAACGUUUAACAAUCAGACUCAUAUAGGUGUGUUCUUCAAAAGAUGUUCUGCAUCAACCUGCCAUGCAGAUUAGGAGAGUAUUGCAUCUUCAUGGAGUGGUAUUGUUAAUAGUAAGGAUACUCUCUUCUCAGUUGACCAAACAACUUGUCUUCCACAUCUAAUUCACGGGAUCUCCGAUCACAAAGAAUAGGUUAUCACUGUGAACAACUCAUAUUGUGGGUCUCAUAUCCAUCUCACCUCGAUGCAUUAUCUAUCACAUUACGUGAUAGACCCUUAGUAAAAGGAUCUGCCAGAUUUUAAGACGUUUGGAUAUAAUCCAAUGCAAUAACUCCAGAGUUUCUCAUUUUUCUGACAGACUUUAACCUUCUCUGAACGUGUCUUGAUGACUUCAUGUUAUCCUUUGAGCUGCUCACUUUUGUGAUCACAGUCUGAUUGUCGCAGUUCAUAAGGAUACCCGGUACAGGUUUCUCAACAACCGGCAAGUCAUUCAAGAGCCGGCAAAGCCAAUCAGCUUCGACCGUAGCUGUAUCUAGUGUUGUGAGUUCUGCUUCCAUUGUUGACCUCGUUAAGAUGGUCUGCUUGCAAGACUUCCAAGAAACAGCGCCACCACCAUGAGUGAAUACAUAUCCGCUCGUGGCCUUUAUCUCAUUAGCAUCUGAAUCCAGCUUGAGUCACUAUACCCUUCAAGCACCUUUGGGUGCCCAGUGUAGUGAAUUCCAUAAUUCACAGUGCCUUUCAAAUAACGCAAAACUCUCUCUAGAUCUUUCCAAUGCACAUCUCCUGGUUUUGAGACAAACCGACUCAGUUUGCUAACAGCAAAAGAGAUGUCGGGUCUUGUAGCACUGGUUAAAUACAUAAGUGAGCCAAUAAUCUGAGAAUAUUUCAAUUGGUCUCUAGCAAUUCUUCGAUUCUUUCGAAGCAACACACUGGCAUCAUAUGGUGUUGGAGAGGGCUUGCAGUCACUGUAGCCAAAGCGACUCAAGAUCUUUUCCACACAGUGAUAUUGAAGCAAUUUAAUCCCACCAUCAUCGUCUCUCAACAACUUGAUGUUCAGAAUGACAUCGGCCACUCCUAAAUCCUUCAUCUCAAAGCAAUAAGAUAGGAAAUCCUUGACCUCCUUAAUAACCUUCAGAUUUGUUCCGAAAAUCAGAAUGUCAUCAACAUACAAGCAAAGGAUAACUCCUUCGUCCCCACCAUGGCGAUAGUACACACAUUUGUGAACUUCGUUCACAACAAAGCUUGCAGCUGUUAAACUUCUUUCAAACUUCUCAUGCCACUAUUUGGGUGCUAGCUUGAGUCCAUACAAAGACUUUAGCAACUUGUACACUUUUCCUUCCUGAUCAUCUAGUACAAACCCAUUUGGUUGUUCCAUAUAGAUUUCCUCGUCCAACUGUCCAUUUAGGAAAGCUGUCUUAACAUCCAUUUGAUGAAUGAGAAGACCAUGUGAGGCAACUAAUGAAAGUAGAACUUGAAUAGUGGUCAGUCGAGCCACAUGUGAGUAAGUAUCAAAGAAGUCUUCACCUUACUUUUGGGUAUAACCCUUAGCCACGAGCCGAGCCUUGUACUUUUCAAUAGUACCAUCAGGCCUAAGCUUCUUCUUGAAUACCCAUUUGCAUCCUAUAGGUUUGCACCCAUAAGGACGAUCAGUUAUCUCCCAAGUUUCAUUCGCCGAGAUGGAAUCCAUCUCGCUACGAACCGCUUCCUUCCAGUAGUCAGCUUCUUCAGAUGCAUAGGCCUCUGAAAUAGAACUGGGAGUGUCAUAUAUGAGAUACACAAAAAAUCAUCACCAAAAGACUUAGCGGUCCUUUGUCUCUUGCUACUAGUAGGAACUUCAUUAUUCUCCUCCACAGGAUUUUCAAAGUGUUCCAUCGAAAUGGCAGGUUUAGUAAUUGUAACUGGUUCCUGAUUCAAUGAACUAGGCAUCUCGUGAUUAGAUGAGGUAGCCAUAUCCUUCAUGGGAAAGAUAUCUUCUAAGAAAGUCGCAUCAUUUGACUCCAUGAUCGUACCGACAUGCAUGUCAGGUACCUCAGAUUUUACAACCAAGAAUCUAUAACCAAUGCUAUGAAAGGCAUAUCCCAGGAAAACACAAUCCACUGUCUUUGGUCCAAGCUUGCGCUUCUUUGGAAUUGGCACAUUAACUUUCGCCAAACAACCCCAAGUUCGUAGAUAAGAGAGCUUUAAUCUUUUCUUCUCCCAUUCCUUGAAUGGAGUUAUCUCUUUGUUCUUUGUGGGAACUCGGUUUAGGACAUGACAUGCAGUCAAUAUCGCCUCCCAACACCAUGCUUUGGAAAGACCCGAUGUGUCUAACAUGGCGUUAACCAAAUCAGUUAGAGUAUGGUUCUUUCUUUCGGCCACCCCAUUUGACUGAGGUGAAUAGGGAGGCGUCCUAUCAUGGAUUAUACCAUGUUCCUCACAAAAUGCAUCAAAUUCAUUGGAAAAAUACUCUCCACCACGGUCGGACCUAAGCCUCUUGAUUUUCCGAUCAAGUUGGUUUUCCACUUCAGCUUUAUAGAUCUUGAAAAAGUUCAAAACCUCAUCCUUAGAUUUCAGAAGAUACACAUGGCAGUAUCUAGUGGAGUCAUCAAUUAACAUCAUGAAAUAUUUCUUUCCACCUUUUGUCAAAACACCAUCCAUUUCACAUAGAUCUGAAUGUACGAGUUCUAGUGGUACAAGAUUUCUUGUUUCCGCGGUCGUGUGAGACUUACGAGGUUGCUUAGCUUGCACACACACUUGACACUUAGAUCCCUUGACAGUGGUGAAACUAGGGAUUAAGUUCAACUUCGCUAAUCGUGACAUGCAACCAAAUUAACAUGACAGAGACGUGAAUGCCACACAUUUGAUUCACUAUUAUUGCAAACAUGAUUAACAACUUUAUUGCAAAUGUCUGACAAGGAUAAACGAAAUAGGCCUCCUGACUCAUAGCCUUUACCAACAAAGGUUCCAUACUUGGAUAUUACACAUUUAUUUGACUCAAAGACAAGCUUGUAGCCAUCUCUACACAGAAGAGAUCCGCUAACAAGAUUUUUAUUGACGGAGGGGACAUAAUGCACGUUCUUCAGCCGCACGAUCUUCCCCGAAGUAAACUUCAGAUCGACCAUGCCAACACCAUGAACAGAAGCACUUGAACCAUUGCCCAUCAGCACGGUGGAAGUCCCUGUGGUCUGAUAAGACGAAAACAUGGAAAUAUCACCGCAUACAUGCACAUUAGCACCUGUGUCAAUUAACCAAUCAGGAGAAUGACAUACUGAAAGAAUAGUGGGAAAUAUACCAUACCCAGCAUCCUUCAUGUCAGUGUCUCCAAUGAUAACAUUAGCGGUCUUGCCACCUUUCCCAAGAUGACGCUUGUCAUAGCGAUUAGGGCAACUAGGAGCCCAAUGAUCAGGAUCUCCACACACAUGACAAACACCUUUCUUCUUGUCAUUCUUCUUCUUGAAGUUCGUGUGUUGUACAACCUUGUUCUUCCCAUCAAACUUGCCCUUGUUCUUGAACUUGUGAGGCUGGAAGUUUGUCUUAUACCAAAUUGGCAUUAGAACCUCCCUCGAUACCUCGAGCAUGGUUGUCCUUUGCUCUCGCCUUUUCUUCCACAUCAAGAGUACCAAUGAGAUCCAGAACGAAAAACUCCUGUCUCUUAUGCUUCAGUAAGUUAGCAAAGUUCCUCCACGUGGGAGGAAGCUUAGUGAUGAUACCUCCGGCAAUAAACUUGUCCGGUAGGAUACAAUUGAAGUGCUCAAGUUCUCUAGCAAAUGACUGUAUCUCAUGAGCUUGCUCAACCAUGGAGCGCUCCUCAGCCAUCCUGUAGUCAUAGAAUUGCUCCAUGAUGUACAACUCAGUGCCAACAUCCGAAACCCCAAACUUGGCCUCGAGUGCGUCCCACAUAUCUUUUACAUUAUCAAUUGAUGCAUAAGCAUCAACUAUGUUCUCACCAAGACCACUCAAGAGAGCAGCCUUAAACAAGGUAUCCAUUUUCUGAAAAGCUUGUGUCUGUUGAGCAUCAUGCUCUCCUUCAGGUUUGCCAAGAGUGGCGUCAUAGUAACUCAUGGUUUGAAACCAUAAGACUGCUCUCACGCGCCACCUCUUAUAGUGGAUACCCUCAAACAUAGGAGGUCUCAUGGAAGCAGCAAAACCACUUGGAGUAAAUUGCCUAUCAUAAGGUUUUUGGAUUGUUGGAAAUAUGAGCAAUUUACCAAAUGAUUUUAUUAACAGAAAUAUUAGAUAAAGCAUGACUAAUAUAACAGGGAUAAAACUAGUCAUGCGAUCUAACAGAGAGAAGGUAAAUAACAUCUGCAUAUAUGAACGUAUCCAAGCUUAUCUAGAGCAGACAGUAGGGCAAGUUUCAUAUAUGAAGUAGAAACUAACAUAUCUAGGAUAACACACCAGAACAAGGAACUGUAGCAGGACCUCGAACAGAAAGGAGAAGAACACAUACAGGACAGCAGCAGCAUUAGCACUGGACUUGGGGUCAGUGUCCUCGCCAGCCAUGUCGUCGAGGAGGUUGUCGACAUUGGGGAAGAAGUCGUCGUCGGGGAACUAGUCAUCGGAGUCCGGGGCGUCCGUGACGAAAAGGUCAGUAGUUGUGCUGAGUGCUCCCCAAAAACCUUAUCACCCUUCUCCCGUACAAGACUCAAAGAAGUGCGGUUUCGGAGGCCUACUGUCCCGACCUGCGGUGCAUGCCGCAAGCCGGGAUGGGGAAAAUGUAGCAGUAGCACAGUGCUCAGGAACUUGGUGGCGAGAGAGAGAUGGUCUUUCUGAUGUGUCUCUCUGGAGAGGAGCGACCUCUCUUAUAUAGCCACAUGAGAGAGAGGCAAACAGGCUGUAACGGGAGGUGAAGCAACAAAGGGAGACGAAGUGAACAGGCAGCAGGCAAAGAAGUGCAUCGUUCGUAUUCAAUCUCCACUACAGCAAAAACGUUUCAGCUCCCGUGUGACCAUUCGUAUACCCAUCGUGCCUGGCAAAAAUUUAGACAUCGGCUUGGCUCAUUCCUGCAACCCGCAGCGCGGCAUGACGAGGCGUGGCGUGGCGAGGCGGGCGGGGGAGGAGGAACGCGCGUGGAUGUCCCUCUUGUUCUCAUGCUCAUACAUAUGGGGAAAGAACCUCCCUUAUAAAGAGGUCCAACUCCCUCUAAACUAGCAAUGUGGGACUAAACUUUAGUUCCACCUCUUGCCUUGCACGAACGGGCUGCAUGGGCCUCUAGGAUUUAUUAGGAAUUUCUGAAACUGCUAUUGGGCUGGCCCAAAAUAGAUAAAAUUCCAGCAUAGCUUUCUCUAGGAACACAUUAAAAUUCAAAGGAACGGUAGCAUGGGCCAUUGAUCUACAACAACAUAGACAUGCAAAAUACUAUCAGGUACUAAGUUCAUGAUAAAUUAAAGUUCCAUUAAUCAUAUUACUUAAGAACUCCCACUUAGAUAGACAUCCCUCUAAUCAUCUAAGUGAGAUGGAGUAGUUUUCAAUGGUGAACAUCACUAUGUUGAUCAUAUCUACUAUAUGAUUCACGCUCGACCUUUCGGUCUCAGUGUUCCGAGGCCAUAUCUGCAUAUGCUAGGCUCGCCAAGUUUAACCUGAGUAUUCUACGUGUGCAAAACUGGCUUGCACCCCUUGUAUGUGAACGUAGAGCUUAUCACACCCGAUCAUCACAUGGUGUCUCGGCACGAUGAACUGUAGCAACGGUGCAUACUCAGGGAGAACACUUGUACCUUGAAAUUUAAUAAGGGGCCAUCUUAUAAUGCUACCGUCAUACUAAGAAAAAUAAGAUGCAUAAAUGAUAAACAUCACAUGCAAUCAAAAUAUGUGACAUGAUAUGGCCAUCAUCAUCUUGAGCUCAUGAUCUCCAUCACCGAAACAUCGUCAUGAUCUCCAUCAUCACCGGCGCGACACCUUGAUCUCCAUCGUAGCAUCGUUAUCAUCUCGCCAACUAUUGUUACUACAACUAUCGCUACCAUUUAGUGAUAAAGUAAAACAAUUACAUGGUGAUUGCAUUGCAUACAAUAAAGUGACAACCAUAUGGCUCCUGCCAGUUGCCGAUAACUUUGUUACAAAACAUGAUCAUCUCAUACAACAAUUUAUAUCUCAUCAUGCCUUGACCAUAUCACAUCACAGCAAGCCCUACAAAAACAAGUUAGACGUCCUCUACUUUGUUGUUGCAAGUUUUACGUGGCUGCUACGGGCUUAGCAAGAACCGUUCUUACCUACGCAUCAAAACCACAAUGACUUUUCGUCAAGUGUGUUGUAUUAACAUUCAACAAGGACCGGGCAUAGCCACACUCGAUUCAAGUAAAGUUGGAGAAACAGACACUCACUAGCCACCUGUGUGUGAAGCACGUCAGUAGAACCAGUCACGCGUAAGCGUACGCGUAAUGUCGGUCUGAGCCGCUUCCUCCAACAAUACCGCUGAAUCAAAGUAUGACAUGUUGGUAAGUAGUAUGAAUAUUAUCGCCCACAACUCUUUGUGUUCUACUCGUGCAAAUAACAUUUACGCAUAGAUCUGGCUCUGAUACCACUGUUGGGGAACAUACUAAUUUCAAAAUUUUCCUACGAUCAUGCAAGAUCUAUCUAGGUGAUGCAUAGCAAUGAGAGGGGAGAGUGUUGUCUACGUACCCUCAUAGACCGAAAGCGGAAGUGUUAUGACAACGCGGUCGAUGUAGUCGUACGUCUUCACGAUCCGAUUGAUCCUAGCACCGAAGGUACGGCACCUCCGUGAUUUGCACACGUUCAGCUCGGUGACGUCCCACGAACUCGAGAUCUAGCUGAGGUCGAGGGAGAGUCUCAUCAGCACGACGGCGUGGUGACAGUGAUGAUGAAGUUACCGGCGCAGGGCUUCGCCUAAGCACUACGACGAUAUGACUGAGGUGAAAUCUGUGGAGGGGGGCACCGCACACGGCUAAAAGAUCAACUUGUGUGUCUAUGGGGUGCCCCCUCCCCCAUAUAUAAAGGAGUGGAGGAGGGGAGGGCCGGCCCUCUAUGGCGCGCCGAAGGGGGGAGUCCUACUCCCGGUAGGAGUAGGUUUCCCCCUUCCCUAGUUGGAGUAGGAGAAGAAGGAAGACGGAGAAGGAGAGAAGGAAAGGGGGGCCAACCCCCUUCCCAAUUCGGAUUGGGCUUGGGAGGGUGCGCCCCCACCUUGGCCGCCUCCUCCUCUCUUCCACCAUGGCCCAUUAAGGCCCAUUGACUCCCCAGUGGGUUCCGGUAACCUCUGGUACUCCGGAAAAAUGCCUGAACCACUCGGAACCUUUCCGGUGUCCAAACAUAGCCUUCCAAUAUAUCAAUCUUUAUGUCUCGACCAUUUCGAGAUUCCACGUCAUGUCUGUGAUCACAUCCAGGACUCCGAACAACCUUAGGUACAUUAUAUAUCACAUAAACUCAUAAUACCAAUCGUCAUCGAACGUUAAGCGUGCGGACCCUAUGAGUUCAAGAACUAUGUAUACAUGACCGAGAAACGUCUUCGGUCAAUAACCAAUAGCGGAACCUGGAUCCUCAUAUUGAUUCCUACAUAUUCUAUGAAGAUCUUUAUCGGUCAAACUGCAUAACAACAUACAUUGUUCCCUUUGUCAUCGGUAUGUUACUUGCCCGAGAUUCGAUCGUCGGUAUCUCAAUACCUAGUUCAAUCUCGUUACCGGCAAGUCUCUUUACUCGUUCUGUAAUACUUCAUCCUGCAACUAAUUCAUUAGUCACAAUGCUUGCAAGGCUUAUAGUGAUGAGUAUUACCGAGAGGGCGCAUGUAAGGGCAUAUUUAUCCCUUAGUAGUUUUGGUGAUUGAUGACAAUGGUUUAGCGGACUAAUCGUGUGCAUCGAGCUUUUCAGAUAGAUCAUGUUAGAGCACAAAACGAUUUGGUGCCCCUCGAAGACUUUUGAAGACAGCGUUUCUCUACGUUUCUUUUCGGUGGAUUUGAGUCAUAGGAGAUUCGUACUAUUAAGAGGGGUCCACUUUGGAAAGGUUUGGGUGGAAUCUCACGUACACACCGUUUGCACCAUCUUUCCGUUGGCUCUUUGGAGUUUACUCUGUCUCACCGUAUCUCUGCAGGGUGAAGGCUUCCUAAGUGUUGAUGUUCAUAGGCUGGUAGAAGUACUGCUCCCCAGAGCGGUACUACCGCAGGCCCUUGUGGUAGUACCGGGCCCUGGCACGGUAGUACCGCAGGUGCCCAUGGAAGUACCGCUCCUCCUAAGCGGUAGUACCGUGAACUUUGGCCAAGCGCUACUGCGCAAGCGGUAGUAGGGGCGGAUGUAAUUUUUUACAUCCGCGCCCUACGCGGUAGUACCGUGCUCCGGCGCGGUAGUACCGUGAUACCGGGCCAGGCACAGUGGCACCAAGCAGAAAUAGGGGCGGAUGUAAUUUUUUACAUCCGCGGCCUCCACGGUAGUACCGCACCUGGUUUGCGGUAGUACCGUGUCGGACUUUUGCAUAGAUAUUUUCUCAACGGAGGUAGUCACGGAUGUAUUUUUUUAUAUCCGUGCCUACAGUGCCUGGACCAUGCCUACCUUGCGGAAGUACCACAUGGGGUCGCGGUAGUACCGCGCCAGCGGUUCUAUCGUCCCCUGUCGGUGCUCCUCAGAACGGGUCCAGGCCCUGCCGUGCCCGCGGUAGUACCGCAAUCCUCCGUGGUAGUACCGCAGGCACGUGCGGUAGUACUUCUCCUGGUGCACGGUAGUACCGCGGGUCGCGGGCUGAGUAGGUGGGUAACGGUUGGAUUUGUCCCGUGACUAUAAAAGGGGUGUCUUCAUCCUCUAGUUGACCACCUCUUCCACCUCUAAGCUCCAUUGUUGCUCCAAGCUCCAUUUUCGCCCGAUCUCCCUCCCUAGCCAAUCAAACUUGUUGAUUCUCUAGGGAUUGGUUGAGAAGGCCCCGAUCUACACUUCCACCAAGAGAAAUUUGAUUCCCCCACUAAUCCCUUGUGGAUCUUGAUACUCUUGGGUGUUUGAGCACCCUAGACGGUUGAGGUCACCUCGGAGCCAUAGUCCAUUGUGGUGAAGCUUCAUGGUGUCAUUGGGAGCCACCAAUUCAGUUGUGGAGAUUGCCCCAACCUUGUUUGUAAAGGUUCGGUCGCCGCCUCCAAGGGCACCAAUAGUGGAAUCAUGGCACCUCGCAUUGUGUGAGGGCGUGAGGAGAAUACGGUGGCCCUAGUGGCUUCUUGGGGAGCAUUGUGCCUCCACACCGCUCCAACGGAGACGUACUUCCCUUCAAAAGGAAGGAACUUCGGUAACACAUCCUCAUCUCCAUCGGUUCCACUUUUGGUUAUCUCUCACCUUUACUUGUGCAAGCUAUAUUGUGUUAUUUCCGUUGCUUGCUUGUGUACUUGUUGUUGUUGCAUCAUAUAGGUUGCUCACCUAGUUGCAUAUCUAGACAACCUACUUUGAUGCAAAGUUUAAUUUGGUAAAGAAAAGCUAAAAAUUGUUAGUUGCCUAUUCACCCCCCCUCUAGUCAACUAUAUAGAUCCCUUCAAUUGGUAUUAGAGCCUCAUCUCUUUAUUAAGGACUUUGUCGUCCAAAGAGUAUGGUUGAUACCGUAGACGGUGGGGAGGAACACUCCGGUGUGAAUUCGGUCUCGUCUAUGGCCGAUGGGGGAAUCACGGUCUCUCGUGAGGAAUUAAAUGUGGCUUUGGACACAUAGAAAACCUCCACGACGACCGAGGUCAAAAGCAUGUUUAAUUAAUUCUUAGAAGGACUUAAACUAUCUACCUCGCUGAUGAAAGUGGGUGAUCCCACUAACAAGGUGACGAAUGCUAACUUCGACAAGGGUCCUUCUACUAGUGGUAGAAAUGGAAAUGGUAUGUUUGCCCAUGUGGAACCUCCUCUUACCUAUAGAGGACCGAUUCCAUCUACUCAUUUAAAUCAUGCCGGCCCUCCUCCUAAGACUGUGAAAAAUGAAGAUUUUGUUGCUUGGGUCUAUCACUUUAAGUGUCAUUUAAAACAUGUUAACACUAAUCUUUGGAGAAUCAUUGAAGAAGGUCUCUAUCCGCAUGACCCAAGCAACUUCACCCCAAGAGAAGCCGCGGAUAAUCAAUUCAAUGAGAAUGCUCUCUUCAUCCUUCAAGAUGUAAUUCCACCCGAAGACAGUGCUCAUCUCCGACCGUUCACCGUGGCCAAAGAAGCAUGGCACCAUGUUGUUUCCCUCUACAAGGGAAGCACUAGCAUUCAAAGCUCCAACUAUGAAGUGGUGCAAGAUGAAGCCGAUGAGUUUGCAAUGAAUGAAGAUGAAGAGCCUCGUGUGCUUUACCGAAGAUUGACCACCCUUGCGGUCUCACUCCGAGAUCAUGGGAGUAAGGAUACGAAUGACAAUUGGAUCAAGCGCAAGUUCCUCAAGGCCAUGAUGCCUUACCACAAGGCCAUGUCUUCCGUCAUCCGUCAAAGGCCGUACUUCCACACCUUGUCCUCAAAUGCCGUGUUGGAUGAGUUUGUGGCGAUGAGGAUCUUGGACAAGACCGUCGACAAUGUGGUGUUGCAUUCUCAAAGAGCAAAGAAUCCCAACCCCGAAAAUACGAAAUAUGAUUAUCAUUAGCACAUGGCUCUUGCUUCAAGGCAAUUUUGGAGCAAGAAGAACACAAGGCCCAACUUCCACAAGAACAACUCAAGUGGCUUCAAGGGCAAGCAACAUGUGAGAACAUGUUACAAUUGUGGUAAUGUGAGCCACUUUGUUGUGGAUUUCCCUUACGAGAAGCGGGAAGACAAUGGUGGCAAGCUCAUCUGAAAAGACAAAGCCAAGUCGUUCCCCAACAAGAACAACUUCACCAAGAAGACUCCUAUCAAAGGGUUGGUGUCACAAGAAGAAUACAAUGAGGAGGAUUAUGAUGAUGAUGAAGAUAGUGAAGUCAUGGCCAUGGCCUCUGUUGCCAUUGCCACCACUCCACGGGUGUCUCUCUUCGAUUCACCCAACGAGAACAUCACCGCCAAAUGCCUCAUGGCCAAAACCACCAACAAGGUAACCCCCAACAUCAAAACUACCAUCAUUACUAAUCCCUCCUUGACGGAUUGCAUUGAUGAAAAUGAGGGGUCUAAUGAAGAGACAAAUGAAUUUGAGUCUUUUAUGAGUAAGCUCAAGGGCAAAUCCAAGAAGCACUUCGUUGCUCUCUUGGAACAACUUGGUGAAGCCAGUGACAUGAUCGAGGCUCAUGAAGAAACCAUCUCUAAGAUGGAAGUUCAUAGUCAUGACUAUGCCGAUGAGAUAUCGGAUCUCUCUAAUGCUCUUGAGGAAGAGUGUGGGCAUCAUUUGGCUCUUGAGGAGUCACACAACGAUGACCAUGCUAAAUUAAAGAAAGAUCUUGAUCAUGCUCUUAUUGUCUCUCAUGUGCUAAACUCCAAGAAGGCUAAACUUGGGGUUGACCUUGCUAGACUCAAAGAGGAGUUUGAUUUACUUGAAAAGGCUCACAAGGCCUUGAAGGGUGCUCAUGCUAACCUCAAGGAGUCUCAUUAUCAACUCCAAGUGAAGCUAACCAAGGAGAAAGCCACAUUUCCUCAUAUGGUCUUAAUUGAUAAUGCAAAUGCUACUAACCCGUGUUGGGAGCAUGUGCAUCUUGUGGAGGAGAAUGCCAAGUUGAAGGAGCAACUUAAUAAAGGCCUUGUGUCGUGUAUACAAGGUGAGAAGAAUCUCAACGACCUUUUGAGCAAUCAAAAGGAAGUUGUUGCCAAGGAGGGAGUUGGGUUCGCACCCAAGUUCAAUAACAAGAAGAAGAAUGACAAUACCAAACGACCUCCCCCUCUCAAGCAAACCUUUUUGAAGGAGGGAGAGGGUACUUCUAAGGAGAAUAAGAACAAUGUAAAGGAUGGCAACGUCAAAAGGGGCAAUGCCAUCCCUUCCAACAAAGACGACGGCUUUAACCCUUCUUAUGUGUUGUGCCGUGCUAGUGACGGGCAUGUUUAUGCUAAAUUUGUUGGUUCUCCUUAUGAGUACAUUGAAUGGUCUAUUUGGUUUCCCAAGACCCUUGUUACUAACAUCAAAGGACCCAUUACUCAAUGGGUACCUAAAACCAAGCAUUGAUCUCUUGUAGGUGUUUGCUUCCGAUGGGGGAUCAUGGUUGCUUGAUAGUGGAGCUACAAAUCAUAUGACCGGAAGCAAGGACCUGGUGGUGGAUGUGCAAAAGAUUCCAUCUAUGCCCACCAAUGUCGAGUGGGGUGAUGCAUCGUUCUCCAAGGUAUUGGGUCUUGGCAAGGUUGUCAUUUCUCAUGAUCUCACGAUCGAGAAAGUCAUGCUUGUUGAGUCCCUUGCAUACAAUUUACUUCCUGUUCGUCAACUUGCACUCAUGGAUUUUGCCACUUUCUUUGAUAUUGAUACCAUGGCCCUCUUGUGGAGCAAGACUCUUAAAGUAGCUUUUGUUGGGCAUGUCGAGAAUGGUCUUUAUGUGAUUAACUUUUCGGAGUGACCCACUAAGACCGCGACAUGCCUAAUGGCUAAAGUUGAUGUGGGAUGGCUUUGGCAUCGCCGUCUAGCCCAUGUCAAUAUGAGAUCUUUGCAAAGUCUUCUCAAGGGGGACCAUGUACAUGGACUAAUGAAUGUUAGUUUUGCCAAAGAUCGUGCUUGCAGUGCUUGUAUCGAAGGAAAGCUACAUGAGAAGGCUCACCCUCCCACGACUAUCAUCUACUCGAAGAGACCCUUGGAGCUCCUUCACAUGGAACUCUUUGGGCCUCCAUCCUUUGAUAGUCUUGGGGGUAGAAAGUAUUGCUUGGUGAUCAUGGAUGACUAUUCAAGAAAUACUUGGGUAUAUUUCUUCAAGAGGAAGAGCGAGACUCAACAAACUGUCAUCGACUUUGCAAAUGAAGCUCAACGUCAACAUGAUGCAAAGAUCUUGACAAUAAGGAGUGACAAUGGCACUGAGUUCAAGAACUACACCUUGGAUGAGUUUCUUAGUGAUGAGGGGAUCAAGCAUCAAUAUGCUGCACCUUACACCCCUCAACAAAAUGGUGUAGCGGAGAGGAAGAACCGAACGUUGAUGGAUGCGGCAAGGACCAUGAUGGCGGAGUUCAAGCCUCCUUACAACUUUUGGGCCAAAGCCAUCAACACAACAUGUCAUGCAUCAAAUCGGCUCUAUCUCCGCAAAGGCUUGAACAAGACUCUGUAUGAAACACUCGCCGGUAACAAGCCCAACCUCAAGUACUUCCGGGUGUUCGGGUGUAAGUGUUUCAUUCUCAAGAAAGGUGUUCGUUAGUCUAAAUUUGAGGCUAGAGCUCAUGAGGGCAUAUUUGUUGGUUAUGCUACAAACUAUCAUGCUUACCGUGUCCUCAACAAGUCCAUGGGGCUCAUUGAGGAGACGUGUAACAUGGAGUUUGACGAGAAUAACGGCUCCCAAGUGGAGCAAAGUGGUACUUGUGAUGUAGGUGAUGAAAUUACUCCCCAAGCCAUAAGAAGAAUGGGUGUUGGUUAUAUCCUACCCAUUGAGGAACCCCUUGUGGCCGAAGGAGAAGGACAAUGCUCCAAUCAAGUGGAGCCAUCACCAACCCAAGACACACACGCUUCCGAAGAACAAAGUGAAGGCCCUCAACCUCGUGAACAAGAUCAAGGGCAAGAUCAACCUAAAGUUGGUGGUGAACCACCAAGCGAUGCCCAAGGUCAAGUUCUCCCUUUCGAGCAAGCUCAAGAUCAAGAGCAAGCUCAAGAUGAUGAACAAGCUCGAGACGGCGCUCAAGAUGAUCAAGCCCCCUCCUCCUUUCACAUCCGAGGAGGAAUUAGAGCGUCGUGCUGCGAAGAUCGCUUCCAAGCUCACUACCAAAGGUCAUCUCAUGGAGAAUGUGGUUGGAAGCCUAAGAAAGGGGGUAAGCACUUGUAGACAAUUAGCAAACUAUUGUGAACAUCACGCGUUUGUUUCUUGUGUCGAACCCCAAAAGAUCUAUGAGGCGCUCGAGGAUCUGGAUUGGCUCAAUGCCAUGCAUGGAGAACUCAACAACUUCGAGCACAACCAAGUGUGGAAAUUAAUGCCAAGGCCGACCAGGAAUCAUAAUGUCAUUGGAACCAAGUGGAUAUUCAAGAACAAGCAAGAUGCUCAUGGGAUCAUUGUUCGCAACAAGGCUCGUUUGGUGGCACAAGGCUACUCCCAAGUCAAGGGUAUCGACUACGGUGAAACCUUUUCUCCCGUUGCUUGCCUUGUAUUCGUUCGUUGAUUGCUUAUGCUUCUCAUCAUAAUUUCAAGUUGCAACAAAUGGAUGUGAAGAGUGCUUUUCUUAAUGGUCCCAUUAAUGAGUUGGUGUAUGUCAAACAACCCUCGGGGUUCGAGGAUCCCUAUUUCCCCGAUCAUGUGUACCAACUCAACAAGGCGGUCUAUGGCCUUAAACAAGCCCCACGUGCGUGGUAUGAGAAUCUUACGGAGUUUUUACAAGAUCGUGGGUUCGAAAUCGGGAAAAUCAACCCCAUUCUUUUUACUAAGAAGGUCAAAGGGGAGUUGUUUGUGUGCCAAUUAUAUGUUGAUGAUAGUAUUUUUGGUUCCCCUAACCAAGCUUUCAAUGAAGAAUUUGCCGCUCUCGUGACCUCAAAGUUCAAGAUGUCUAUGAUGGGAGAGUUGAAGUUCUUUCUCGGGUUCGAAAUCAAGCAAAGAAUAGAAGGAACCUUCAUCAACCAAGCCAAAUACACUCAAGACAUGCUCAAGAGAUUCAAGCUAAGUGAUGUCAAGCCGGCCUCCACUCCAAUGCCCGUCAAAUGCCAACUUGACAUUGAUCCCAAUGGUAAAGCGGUGGAUCAAAAGGUAUAUUGCUCCAUGAUUGGAUCCUUGCUUUACUGUUGUGCAUCUAGACCGGAUAUCAUGUUGAGUGUGGGAAUUUGUGCACGGUUUCAAGCGCACAUAAGGAAAGCCACUUUGUGGCGGUCAAGCGAAUCUUUCGAUAUUUGGCUCAUACCCCAAACUUUGGCUUAUGGUACCCAAGAGGAGCCAACUUUGAUCUUUUGGGCUUUACAGACUCAGAUUGGGCGGGAGACAAAGUGGAUAGGAAGUCCACCUCUAGAGGGUGCCAAUUGCUUGGUUGCUCUUUAGUGAGUUGGUCUUCUAAGAAGCAAAGUUGUGCAUCUCUCUCGUCCACCGAAGCGGAGUAUGUGGCUGCCGGUAGUUGUUGUGCUCAACUUCUAUGGAUGAGGAAAACUUUGAAGGAUUACGGUGUCACAUGUGACGAAGUGCCUCUUUGGUGUGACAAUGAAAGUGCCAUCAUGAUUUCUCUCAACCCGGUGCAACACUUCAAGACGAAGCAUAUUGAGAUUCGGUAUCACUUCAUCCGGGAUCACAUUAGGCGAGGGGAGAUCACGCUCAAGUAUGUCAACACUAGUGUUAACCUUGCAGAUAUUUUCACGAAGCCCUUGGAUGAAGCAAGAUUUCGUGAGUUAAGGCAUGAGCUAAAUAUCAUUGAUUCGAGCAAUGUAGUUUGAACCCUUGCACACCCCACCAUACUCAUCAUGCUACCUUGUCUAGGUGUAGGCAUGGACAUAGGGGGAAUGUUGUUCCCUCAAUGAACUUUCCCUCCCCCCAUUAUGCAUAAAUUGAUCAAACUCUUUCACAUUAACCAUUUUUAUGGUACUUGUGCUUCAAAGACGAGUCUUGGUCAUGGGCCCAUAGAUAUUCUUCGUGGCACUACAAAAAAAAAGACAC